AAUCCAGUAGAUCUAUACACAAAUGAAAAUCUUGAAAAUGAACGGUCUAAAUAAUGUGGUUCAAGAUGCACUAUUUAUGGGACUCAAAAUCCUUCCUUUUUCUUUUCAUAUUCAUGUAUCUCGACAUCCAGAUGAUCAAUUAGAGGGUCUUUUAACAUUAAAACAACCACUUCCGAGAGAUUUUUGAGGUGCAUCCUUAAUUCUAUAUUUUAAAGUUGCAACCUUAUAUAAUUUCUUUCCAUAAAAGAAACCUUUGUGAGAAACAAUAGGUAUUAACCAAGUAUCUUGGUUUAUCGUCAUUCAUUUUUAUAAAAAAAAUUUAAAAAAAAGAAAAGGAAAAAAAAUAAAGCUCCAACCAAUAAAAGCUGUUCUUCAUUUAUUUGUGUCCCAUAAUAAGUGAGAGGCUAAAACCUCAUCGUGAUGAAGAGAGAGAGAAAGGUAAUGAUGUUUUCCUAGAGAGAGAAGCUAGUGAACGUUCCUUUGGCAACCGUUGGCCUUUGUGCACGGGCGGGUGUACUUGUUCGCCGGUGGACCAAUACGAGCCCCAUCUUGUAGGAGGCAGCCUGGUUGCGUUGCCCCUGGUUUGGCACAAGGGUCAAGGUUCAAGAAUUUCUCAGAGGGGGAGGCCAUGAGGACCCCAGCCCAAAUCAACACCAGAAUCAACCUCAUAAACAAGACCCCACACCGCCCCAUCUCUUUUCUCUCUCUUCUUUCUCUUCUCCUUCUCGGUCUCUCUCUCCUUUCCCUACGUAAUUUAUAAGGUUUUCUAUGGUUGAAAUUUGUUACAGGGGUAAUUUUUAGUAUGAAAGAGAAAAAAAUUGGAAGUAAUUUUUAGCAUAGAUCCUACUUUUAGCGUGUGGACAUGCUUGAUUGGUUCUAGUUAGUGACACAGAGGGAUUUCUGAUCUAAACACGUCCUCUAAUCUUUUGAAAGCCCCACGUCCCAUGCUGAAUAUUGGUUAAGGAUUCCUUAAAAAAGUAAGGCUGUGGCAACGACUGCGCUGGGUCCGGCCCGUAUCCCCACAGGGCUUGACCUGGCCCUACCCACAGUCUGUAGUUGCUUGGCCCUGGCUACGCCUUUGGGCCACAUUUUGGGGCACAAGCCCUAAUUUUUAGGGUUGCCGUGCGCCACCAGGCCCAUUCCCAGCCUUUAAGUAAGUAGCAUUUCACAUCGGACACAUGGAAAAUAAUUUCGGGCGAUAUUAAGCGAAGGUCUGUCGAGCUUAGGUUUUUGUAUUUUUAUUUUUAUUUUUAAAAAUCAUGAUUGAAAUCACCCAAAUCGAAUCGAAAAUCAUUGUGGUCAAGUCUGUAAAUAAAAUAUCUAAAUCACCUAAUUCGAAUAGAAAAUCAUUGUGAUCAAGUCCGUGAAUAAAAUAUCGAAAUCACCCGAUUCAAUUCGAAAAUCAUUGUGGUCAAGUCUGUGAAUAAAAUAUCUAUUUCUCAUAGUGAACCGAUUGGCUCAACCGGGUUCCCACGAAUUUUUCAAAUUUGUUUGUUGAAGUUUAUGUUUUCAAUUAAAUGGUGGCCCACCACGCUUUUCAUAUCGUCUAACAUCAAGAAACGCCUAUGGACCCUACCACUCUGUUGGGGUUGAUAAAUAUGGGAAAGCUUUUCUAUGUUGGGGCGAGUAAACUUUGUGUAAAUAAUAAUGGAAUAUUUAAAGGAUAAAAUAAUAUUAUUUUAUAGAGCACCUUUGGGCCAUACACCUAUUUUUUUAUUUAUCUAUUUUUUAAUUUCAAUUAAAUGUGAUUAUAAAUUUAUAUUUGCAAUUUCUAAUUUAUGACAAUAUUAAUUAUUACACCUUAUAUUAUUUAUUUGGCAAAAUAUAUUAAAAAUAGAAUUUUUUUUGUUAUGUAGAAAGGAUUUUUUUUUAAUUAUAAUCAUGUGACGAGACUUUAGAAAUGAUUUAAUUAAUUGAAAUAUGAUAUUGUUUAUUCUCUUUUUUUUAAGUGAUCAAUGCAAACGACAUCUCACUAUUCACUUAUUUUUGCAAGUUAAUAAAAAUACAUAAUGCAUUGCCCUCAUUUUUUCUUGAAAACCAAAAUACUAUUAUAUAUAAUAAUUUUUAGUUAUUUUUUAAAAAAAUUUAAAUACCCGUCCAACCGAUUCUCUGAUCCAUAACGUCUAUUAGACCAAGUUUUUCAAAUAGACGAUCCAGAUCACCGAUUUAUUCUUCAAACCUUGAUCAAAACCAUGAAAGAGCGCGCUUACCUGUCUACGUAGGCUUUGUACUAAUUGCGACCUUUUCCAUAUCAGAAUUUUUAUGAGAGACCUACAAUAUACUAAUUCCAUCAAAAAUUAAAAUGAUUUGCAACUCGAAAAUGUUCCAAGACUCUAAAUUAUAAUCUAGGGUUUUGAGAGGUCCAUAGCUUUUUAUUGGGAAAAUUGCAUAAAACCCGCUAUAAUGGACUUCCUAAACACUUUACUGCACCUAAGUUUUUCUAACAAUGUUUUCCCCAAAACUAUCCUUCCUAGCAAAUAACCCCCCAACACAAAAAGUUCAUUUUUUUUUAUGAAACCUUCUAUUGACGUAUUCACCGGACUGCCCCUUCCAAACACCGGACUGCACCAUUUACAGUGACUUCAGUGCCGGACUGCCCUUUCCAAACGCUGGACCGGCGAAUUACAGUCACCUCAGUGCCAGAAUGCCUCAGAGAACUGUCGGACUGGCUGCUUGAAGUGCCGGACUGCCUCCGAGAACUGUCGGACUGGCCGCUUGAAGUGCUGGAUUGCCCUUUCGAAACUCCGCACCAAUUCUAGUGACUUUAAUGCCUGACUGCCGCUUCCAAACCCCGAACUGCACUAUUUACAGUGACUUCAGUGUCGAACUGCCCCUUCCAAACACCGGACCGACGAGUUGCCAGUGACCUCAAAGUAGAAAGAGAAAAAUAUAAAAAAUGGGUUAGGGUUACGUAUGGGUAAGGGAGGAGUAUUUUAGUCUACUUUUUUUUGCUUUUUGAGUGGGGGGGUUAUUUGCUAAGGAUAAUAAUUUUGGGGAAAAAAUUGUUAGGAAAUAUUAGGUGGGGGGUACAGUGCUUAGGAAGCCCAUUUUGAGGGGUUUUAUGUAAUUUUUUCUUUUUAAUUUUUCUUUUUCCUCUUAUUGCAGUUGAAAAGGCAUGAACUAAGGAUAAAACCAUCAAAAUUGCACAAAUAUUAAAAUUGAUGAGGUUUCUGCUUAAGCUUUAUGAAAACAGAAUAAAGUCUCACCUCAAAUCCUCAUUCGGAAAGUACUUUCGGCAAAAUAAAUUUCUAUGGUUCAAAAAUCAAUUUCCAACACCGACAAUAAAUUUUGAAACUCAAAAAAGUACACACAAAGUUUUAAAGCAAAAUAAACGGUCUAGAUAAUUUGUUACAAUAUACACUAUUUUUAGAGCCUCAUUUUUUCUUUUUUUUUCACAACGAUACUGUUCAAGUCGAGAUGAUCGAUGUAAAGGUUUUCCUUGACAUGCAAUUUUUUGUGAGUUCUGCAAUUUUUUGUGAGUUAUGAAGUGAGGAUCUACUUAUUUUGAUAGUGUUGCAGCCCUAUCAAAUCAUUUUCUUUUCAAAAAUUCCUCAUUGGUUUAUACCCCCAUAUUUGACACAUUCAUGCAUAUAGGGGUGGCAAUAGAUCCGGUUAGACUUGAGACACGACCUCAAGUCUGGUAUGGGUCCAAAUUUGGGACUCAAUACUAUUUGGGUCCAGGUCCGGUCCAACCGUACUAGAUUCGUACCCAUAGUUAAAGGGCAUAUGAUGGCAAUUAUAUGCCUUUUUAGGCACACGUUAAGUGUUCAUACUGUCACAAUAUUAGCAACAUCUAUAUAUUAUUGGUAAAAAAGAUGAAACUCAAAGUCAUAGGGUAUAUAUAUAUAUAUAUAUAUGAGAGUAAUGAUCUUAUAGGAUUCUCCUCCAUCCAUGUGUGUAAGACCCCAAAGAAUCACCAUCAAACAUCGAAGAUAAGUAUAAAUUCUGCAGAUAUUGUUACUCUUCCAAGAAAAUAUUGGGUUUUGUAAACCCUAGAUUUCAUUCAUAUUUGAUGAUUGAAAGGAGUGAUUCUAGUUUUAGCAAAACCUCUUGGAAAAGAGAACAAAAGAUGCAGAGAGCAAGUAAUAAUAUAAAAGUCAGCCAUAUUUCUUCACUUGCAGCUGUGUGAGUGGUAAAUUCAUCGGCAUGAGUCCAAUCACAAUAUAAUGCUCUCAAACCCUAUACCUAUACCGCCAUUAGCUACACCCUGCAAUGAAAUAUUUAUUUAUAAAAAGGCAUCUAGAGCUUUAUAGCUUAGUCAGAUUCAUCAAUUCUAAUUUCUGCUCGUGAGGGGUUAAUUCUAUGUCUUACCGUCAAUCUACCAUAUAACUUUAUUCCCUAGUGAACUUAUUGUAAUUCAUAGGACCACCAAGUUUCAUUUUUUUUACCGAAUUUUCCACCUAAGCGAUGAACUUCAAUUGUAUAGAUUCCCAGCAUAGGCUCUAUGCAUGUUAUGCAUAUAACCAUGGGUACAUGCUGUAUGUCAUCCAUCAGGCAAAAACCUUUUAUAGAUAAUAAAAUUUUGAUUUUUCUCUCAAAAUAAUUAAGUUUGAAUUUUUGUUUUUAACUUAGACAAUUUUUAGAUCUCAAUAUUCUUCUACAGGUUUUUCUUGCGAAUACAUAGUAUGUGCCCAAAGGCUUACUAGGAUUUGAAAACCCUUACUCUCCAAAGCGUUAUAGGAAGAACCAAAAUUUUAUUGAUAAGUUCUCUCAUGAGGACUUUUUUUAUUAGUGGUCCCACUGGUUUUCGUAACCACUAAAAUAGAUAUUUGAUAUAUUUUUAGAAAUAUAUUUGACAUCUAAUGUUCUAUUACCUUGGAUGCCGAGGUUUAUAUUGUCUAGAGCCUCAAACAAUAUCCUAAAUUGUUCUUUGUUUUGUGGGAGCAAACAAGUAGUUUCCUUCCUCACCAACACAUUGCAAAUAUAAGGUUUCUUUAUAAUUAUGCUUAUCAUUACUUUGGUCCUCUUCUUCAUUAAAACAUAAUACUUAAUAAUAGGAUAAUUUAUACUAUAGUAUAAUAAAUAUAAUAUAAUAUAAUGCAAUAUAGUAUAAUAUAAUAGAAAAAAAUUAUAUAAGGUUGCAACCUUAAAAUUUAGAAAGUCCAUCACAACAACAAUUUUGAACCCUAAACAUAGUGUAUCUUGCAAAAAAUUAUCUACACCGUCCAUUUUCAAGAUUUUCAUAUGUUUAUAUAUAUCUACUUGAUUUUUUAACCAAUUUUUUAAAUUNNNNNNNNNNNNNNNNNNNNNNNNNNNNNNNNNNNNNNNNNNNNNNNNNNNNNNNNNNNNNNNNGGUAAAAAAGGGACAAAAAAUACAUAAAUAAACUCAUAGUCAUGGCGUAGAUCCGGAACAUGACGGGUCUGGAUCCAAGUCCCAAUUUUGGACCCCCACACCAUUCGGUUCCGUCUUGCCACCCUACAUGCAUACCAUCUCUCUUCGUCCAUCGCACACGUAACAUCCACGGCAAUAAAAGAAACCUCGGUAAGAAACAAUAACUAUUAACAAAAUCUCUUUAUUUAUCAUCAUUCAUCACUUAAAAAAAAAAAAAGCUCCAAUAAAUAAAAGCAGUUAUGCAUGAGAGGCUCAUAAUGCCAGACCGAUGAAGCUUUAGAGAGAGAGAGAGAGUGUGAUGAUUUCCUAGAGAAAGAAAGAGAGCUAGUGAUGAUUUCCUAGAGAAAGAAAGAGAGCUAGUCAUGUUUUCCUAGAGAGAGAGAAGCUAGUUUCCUGGAUGCCCACUAAUGUCCCUUUGGCAACCAUUGGCCUUUGUGCAUGGGCGGGUAUACCUGUUGGCUGGUGGACCCAUACCAGUCCAACUGGGUGGGACGCAGCCUGGGUUCGUUGACCCUGGUUGGGCACAAGGGUCCGUGCUCAAGAAUUUCCCCAUAGAACGAGUAGAAGCAAUAGAGGGAGUGGCCAACAGGACCCCACACCAAAUCAACACCACAAUCAACCUCAUAAACAACACCCCACCAUGCCCCAUCUCUUCUUUCUCUCUCUAAAAAUUGGUGUCUUCUCUCUCUCAUGAGUGGGGUAAUUUAUAAUCUCCUAUCAUUCAAAUUAGUAGCUACCUAUUACAGGGUAAUUUUUAGAAUGUAUUCUAUACUUUUAUUGGAAAAAAUAAACUAUUAAAGAAACUUUAGAUUUUAUGCUAUUUUUAAAAGCCAUCCUAGUUGGCUCUAAUUUAAUUUCUAUUCUUCAAAGUCGUUGGUAAAUGUGAGGGUAGGAUAAGGGUUCCUUAACUAUUUAUAAAAAUAGAUAAAAUAAAGAAAAACAACAAUUAAUCUUAAAUUGGUGUUUGGUGAGUCGGACGACCACCUACAACUAUUCUGAAUUUAUAUUCGGGACCCAUCAACAUCAUCAAAGUCUUUUCCAAAAACCUGCAAUUAUUAUGUUUUUACUUAAAACAAAAACAAAGUUCAAUUUCACACUUUGUUUUUUUUUUUUCUUUGUUUUUGAAUUUUUCAGGCCACAGGACCCUUUUCCCCUUAAUUUGUCGCUCGAUUGGAAAUCAAAAUACCUUACCAAUAAAACUUUAAAAUGAAAAAUAAGGAGACAUCCUUUUGCCUAUAUUUUACUAUGGAACCAAGACAAUUUUGUUUUUGGGUAGGCAAAGUAAAAUUUCAACCAGGCAACAGAAUCAAAACCACACGAGACGGGCCGAGAGAGAGAGAGGGAUGAAUGGAAAAGAUUUGCAUCAAAAGUACCUAAUUACUUAACGGAAAAAUUUUAUAUAAGGUUGAAACCUUAAAUUACAGAAUUAAAGUGCAGCUCAAAAAUUCAUCAGAAAAAAGUUGUUUUGAUGUCGAAAAACUCUCUAUGAUCAUCUCGACAUUGCUAUAUGGAUAUGAAAAAAAACCAAAAAAAAAGAUUUUGAGUUCCAAAAAUAAUGCAUUUUACAACGCAUUAUCUAAACCGUCCAUGUUUAAGAUUUUCAUGUGUUUAUAGAUCUAUUUGAUUUGAACCAUUUUUGGAGUUUAAAAUUUAUGAUAAAAAAAAAAAAUAGACUCUCAAGCCAUUCUUAUGAAUUUUUUACACCAAAAUUACGUCUUAUGAUAAAAUUUGUAAGUGCGCCUCUCAUAGUUUAAGAUUGUAACCUUAUACAAACCAUAACCUUAAUUCUUAAAACAAAAGAAAAUCAUAAUAAUCACCAUUGCAAUUUCGAAAUUUAUACAAGUUAUAAAAAUAUGGCCCUCAUAAAACUAGAGCUACAAUGGUGCUAAAGGAAGAAUCACCCCAUAGAGCUAUUCUUCCUCCACCUAGCGCAUCCAUCAAAAUAGUAGUCCUGUAUACUCUCUGCCUCACUUGGGGCUUCUCUCUCUUUGCCCCUCGCUGUAAGCACUUUUUUUUAUUUUUAUGUUUAGUUCUUUGUUGGGAUUGUGUAUUAUUGGCCCUAUGUUGUUUUAGUGGGCAAGAAGAUCCAAAAGCAUAGAAUAUUAUUUGCAAAUUGCAAUGCUUUGCAAGAAAUAAAGAUGCCAUAAAAGGACACUUCUUUGAACUUUCAAGAGAGAGAGAGAGAGAUGGGCAGAUGCUGAAACUUCUAAUUUUUAUAAAGGGACAGUGCAAUGCCGAAUGUUUCUGAAGAAAAUAAAAUCCAAAAAAAAAAUAUUUUCAUGUUUAAGGUUGGGAGCAAGCGUUAACUCCCAAAAAUAAAUAAAAUCCAAAAAAAAUAUUUUCUUUUUAUAAUUUAAGGUUGGGAGCAGGCGUCAACUCGUUAUUGGUUCCUGAGCACAGGAAUCUACUUUUUCUUUUUAUUCAGUACAUAAUUUUGACUUGUCUCAUGCUCCAACAUCCAUUCCUGUCAAUGGACAGUGGAGAUCGAGUGUGGUGGGCCGCGCUUAAUUUCCAUAGCUUAUCAUGAACAUACAAUUGAUCUAUAAAGCACCAUAAACCAUGCUCAAGAGGAAUACGGUCUCCUUUCUCACGCCAAAGGAGAAAAAAAAAUACAGGAAGUAAUGAGAAGGAAAUGGGGAAUCAUGUUCAAUCAAUUAAUUCACAAGAGAUUCAUUUUGCUUGAUCUUCAUCUUAUCUACGCAUGACUCGGUUCCUCUCACGCUUUCGAAAUCGCUCAAGCAUGAAUUCGUCUGUUGCAGCUUGCCUCCUCCCUCCUUCUCCUAACAAACUGCCCUCAGUUGGUUUUGAUCCAUUGUUGCUAUCACGUGCACUUUUAUCUUUGUAAAGCUCCGGGUGCUCUGUGACCCAAGAGAAAGUUUGAAGGAUAUUUUAUAAGAUCAUGUAGAAUAAUAAUUUACAGAGAAACCAUGAAUUAUGGUGUCUCAUAAUUUCCCAAAUGGCACCGAAAAAAAUGAAAAUGCCCCAGAAUAAAAAACUCGAGGACGAUAAAGUGAGAUAGACUAAUUCUUUUCAUUUUUGUUUGUGUGUGUGUGUGUGUGUGAGAGAGAGAGAGAGAGAGAGAGAGAGAGCUUUUCCUUUUUUUUAUUAGGUAAUCUCAGGAUUUUAACAAGACCUCAGGAUUGAUAGCUGCAUGCUCCAUACCUAAGCACCUCAAUAACAUCGAACAUAUCAUUCAAAAAUAUAUAUUAAAACUCAUUCAAUACAAUAACUAGUGUUGAGGGAUGUGCCAGGAAAUUGCACCAGUGAAGAUAGAUAAGAAUAUUCACCGUUCCAUGAAAAAUAACAAAAAGCAACCCAAAUAUCCAAUCCCAAGUUUUUUCUAUGAAAAUGCCUAAAUUUGAACAGAUUCCUCCUGAUAAACGAACAAAUGAGUGUACUAAUUUUUCUUAAUUACAGCAAGGAUCAGCAAUUAUAAUCAUAGUUUCACAAUUACUUUUAUUUAUAGCUGUAAGUUGCGCAUUAGUCUGUGGAACUUAAAACCAACUGAUGGUAUCUCCAAAAUUAGAUUUGCACAUUAAAGAAUAUUUUGGAUGAGCUAUAAAGCAGGAAAGCAUUUCCAAGAUCUAAAUUAAUCAAAAGUAGAUUAAAUCUUCCUUUCAAACAUGGCCAGUAGUAAGAGAACAAAACAAAGUGGAAAAUAAAUAACAAAGAAAAGAGAUAAACAAAGGCACAUUUGCACAUACCCUGGCGAAGUUUCUCAGCAUAAUCUCUUCCACGCUGAAAGUAGUCAGCACUGUAACUGGAAGGGAUGCUGACUUCUGGCCUUGCCCGGCCUACAAACCGUUUAUCCUGUAACAGUUUCUUGGCAGCCUCAGUUUCCUCAAUAUUUCUUAACUUGUACCUAAGAUACAACAAGAAGAUUAUUCAAAUCAAUAUUUUCUUCUCUUCUAUGAUUAAGAAAUAAACAAGUCGUGCACAAUGUAUUUUAAUUAAGAAGGAUCAAAGAACUCGAGAGUAAUUAAGAGAACUCCAAUGGUUCCUGGAAAUGCAUUACUACCACUAACUAUAAAUAUAUAUGUAUAUGAAGAAAAGAAAAGCCAAUAUGUUUGUUUGGCUUCACAAGGAAAAUAUUGCAAUUGUUUACAAUCAAUCAAAAAUGCCACCCAAACUUCAAAGAAAUAAGAAAACUAACAGUUACUUCAUACAGAAAAGGACCUCGCUCAUAUUUUCCUUUUUUUCCUUUUCCCUGGCAUCACAUGAUGUUGUAGAUAACAAUAAAUGUACCUCUAGAUUAAAUUGUUACAGCCAAUAGUAGAACUAAUUAAUAUAGCAACCACUAUCAAAAGCUCAUGCACUGUCUCUCCAUAGUAGAUAGACCUUUAUUCUCUUGCAAUUUUUUUUUUUUUUACCCCCAAUAUUCUUCAAGAGCUGGUACAUCAAAGGCUCUAGAAAUGUACAUAUUUCACUCCAUAACUUCCUUUCAGUUCUAGUUUUUUGAAUUCUGAUGACCGAUUACUCAUAAAUUGGCCCUUAGAUAUCUAUACUUAAAAGCCUGAGAUUGAUUGCGAUAUCAAUUUAUUCCUCAGGCCUCCACCACAAAUUGCUGAUAUUCAAUGUUUGCAGUAUCAUGCAACUUAAAUGGUUUAGGCCAUGUAAUGCAUGACACUGUCAUAAGGGGUUGCAAACCAAAAAGAAGAAAGGUAAUUAACUCAAUCCUAUCUCUUGAGCAUUUGCAAACAUUCUUAAGCACAAGGGUAGGAAUGACAAGAAUAACUGCAUACUCAAUAGGCAACUGCACUUCAGCGAUUCCAGUGGUCCACUGAGUAGAACUUUCUUCUGAAUUCCGCCUCUUCACCUGAAACAGAACAUCAAAAUUGUGAUAUAGAGAUUAAAAAACCAUGGCGUAGGAAACAAUGAGAAACACCUUGAUCCUUUAGUUUCAUCCUUUUAUAAGUUCAUUCUAUGCAUAAAAUAAAAAUAUGGCCAAAUUACUUAACCUACAUUUUAGAACAAAAGUGAUAGAUUUUAAAAGUUUGGACAGCAUUAGGACAUCUAGCUGUACGUACUGCAAGAUCAAAUAGACAAGAUACGGUGGAUUGAGGCAUACAUGCAAACUUCCAAUCAGAAAUAGUUAUUCAUUUUUUUAAGCUGAAAUUCAGAAACGGAUAGACUAACAUUAUUCUCCAUGUAAUUUGCGAAUAAUGGCCUUCUAAACCAUAUUCCUUUUUUAAGCUGAAAUUCAUAAACGUACAAAGACUAACAUUAUUCUCCAAGUAAUUUGCAAAUAAUGGCCUCCUAAACCAUCAGAAACAAGUAUCAAGAAAAGAAUAUACGAAAAAAUACACAUGAAAACACUCCAGAAUGAAGCAUAUUUCUUAUUAUAAUCUGACAUAAAUGGCCCAUGCACUACCCAAUGACAUGAACAGAUCAUCUUACAUAAUAGGUGACUAGGGUGUCUCAAAUACCCUACUGACUAAUAUUGCCGACAAAAAACCAACUGACUAAUAAUGUCGUCAGUACCAAAAAAAUAAAGAAAUGAAAUUUAAAAAAAAAAAAGAGCGAGAGAGAAAGUAAAGCUUUGCAGCUAUAAACAUAAUAAAUUUUAUGAAACUAAGCAUUCAUAAUAAUCGUAAAGAUCCACCACAAUAUCAUAAUUCUACCUUGAGAUGCUCAGGAAUCAUGUACAGUUCGUCCUCUGCUCGUUUGUUUUCAUUCUCAGUUUGAUUGGUGGUUUCAAUGUUCUUUCCACGCUUCUUGGCCAACUCUUGCUCGACAUACUUCAACCUGUUAAAGAAUACAAAAUGCACCAUAGACAAUAUUAAUGCCAAGCCUCACAUGACAUGGUAAAAAAUAAUCCCUCAGCGAUAUACAUUGAAAACACUAAGGUUGCACAUGCAUAAAUGGAGAUUGAUAAUCUACAUGAUUAUAACAACCUUGCACAGAACAAUGAUAUCAUAAUCAAUAAGUGUGAAAAUGUGCACCCAUGGACAGACGUCCAACCAAAUAUAGCGAAGGUAGUCAGGAUGGGAAGCAAUUUGGAUGGGGCCUGUGUGCUGGUUCAUGUCACAAUAGCAUCAUGAAACCAUGAUCAACAUCUAAAUGAAUUGAACAUGCAAAUAACAUUCUAAACUCCAAAUUACAUGCAAUAAUAGCACUCCUUUCUCCACCGCUUGAUUAGUUUAUGGGACAGAAAUAGCAUAAAGCAUCAAGCGCAGUUAGCAUCACAACAAAUUUAUCUUACGAGACUAUAAUUUAAUAAACAUGAAAUUAUACAAUCAACUAAAAACCAAUUAAAUGAAGAAAAAAAUAAUAUCAGCAAUGCCAAGAACAAAUGGAUCACAAAAAAACAAGAAUCACAUUAACUAAUGAAUUACUAAUGCCUUGUGUUAGGUAUGGUGAUAGCUAAAUCACCACACCUAUGUUUUAAGGGUAUUUUGGUAAAAAGAAAUUUAAUUUUUCUUGGGGAGCAAGAAAGAAACCCUAGUGAUCGCUGUAAAAAAAUAUCAAGGAGGCCAUAAUACUUACCCUUCUGGGUCACCCCUUUGGGAUCAUGGGAGGAGAUCACCAAGAAAGAGAUAGGUCUCCAAUAGAGAGAGAGAGAGAGAGAGAGAGAGAGAGAGAGAGAGAGUACCNNNNNNNNNNNNNNNNNNNNAGAGAGAGAGAGAUUUCCCCCCUAAAGCAAGGAGGUUUUCCUGGAGUUUUGGAUUGAUACUUUCCACUUCUAGACAGAGCAAAUCUCCCAAUUGCUCUCAAAGUUCUGUUUCUGGCAGCGGUAUUGUAAUAGGAAAGAUGAAGUUGAUAAGCAGUGUUACUAAGGAGAGACGUUAGAAGGGAAGAUCAAAAGGUUUUUGUUGAUGUUUAGAGAGAAGUAUAUCUGUUGUAAACCAAAGUUGUGAUGUUCAUUGUGAUAGUGGAUAUCUACUUGUCAAGGUCGUGGAUGCCGCCCUUAGGGAUGAAAUACAGAAGUCGUGCAUAGCUUUGAUGUGCAUUUUGUAUUUGCUUUAUUUCUUGCACUUUUUUUGUUGUUGUGUUCACAUGUACACUAUAUUGGGUGGGAUCCCAAUACUUGGGCUUCCUUGUUCUCCAAGCGAAGGGUUACCGAGGACCCCACAGCUUGUGAUCACUUAAAUAGUUUACAGUAACUCCAAAUUAUCAUUAAAAAACUCGAAUUGAUACAUCAAGCAAUCAAUAAAACAAAUACAUGAACAAACAAAUGAAGGAACACAUAUUCAUACAUGUUGGGGUCCUCAACUGUGACAGCAGUCUCUUGAGCAAAAGUGUCUUGCAGAACCAACUCCUCCUUCUCACCGUCUGCAUCCGCCUUCUCAGUAGGCUUCGCAAGCACACCAAUUGGUUGUGAAUUAGGAAUCGCAGGGAUACCAUAUUUCCUUUCCCUCUGCUUCUGAAGAAACUUCACUUCUUCUAAUGUCAACCUAACAUACAAUAUAUAAAUAUACAAAGCAAAAAGAAAAACUCUAGUUUCUCAAGAAAAAGCAGCCAACCCAAUGUCAUAAAGAGGAACCCAAUUUGAAACGGGACUAGGUUUCCUCAAAAUUAUCAUGAUAUAGAAAUUCCAGGUGCAGCCAGAACCCUAGAACUUCAAAUGCAUCUAAACCCUAAUUUUAGGAGGAACCAUACAAAUCAACAUUUCAAAUCCAAAUAAAUCCGCAAGAUUCUAAGAUUGAUAUCAUUUCAAUAGCAUACCGGUUUCUCUGAAGCUUAGAAAAUAAAAAGAUACGACGCAGAAAACAGUAGAAACCCUAAAUUAGGGUUUGGAGCAAGGUUACCUCCUUUCUUCUUCGUCCUCUGGCCCACUGUUUUCAUCGUCGCUGCUGAGAUGUCUUUUCCUAAAAUUCUUCAUAAUCAGAAUCCCUAAUAAUAAUACAAAAAGGUGAAACACUAAUCUGAAAAAAAUGAAACUGAAUCGUUGCAAAAGAAGAGGAGGAUGUACACUUGCGUAAGUUUUUCAAAAUAAAGUGGGAAAACGAUAGAAAAGGAGCGGUUAUUUAUAUAUGACUGAAAAUACGCUUCUGAUUUCUGGUUUGCCAAAAGAGCCCCUCCUUUCAAAAUUUUGAAUUUUUUAAUAAAGAAGCGUUGCCUCCAAAAUGUGGAUGCCUCUUUCUACGGUUGAGAAUUUAGUCGGUUCGGAUCUGAAACUCGAAAUUUUGAUCUAUCUGGAUAUAGAUAUUGAUCCAAGAUUUAAAUUCAGAAUGAAAUCUUUAAAAGGAAUCAAUGAAAGGGGAAUUUAUUUGGAAAAGAUGUUGUAAUUUAGGACCAUCUAAAUUUAAAAUCUAAAUCCGAAUAGUAAUUUGAGUAGGAUCUGGGUAUAGGUGGAUCCGAUUUGUAUCCAACCCGAUUUUUUAAAAUAAUAUAUAUGUUAUAAUUUAUAUAUUUAUGAAUUGAUAUAUAUAAUUUAAUUUUAUAAUAUACAAUAUUGGAACCGAUCUAUUUUUUAAGAUUUAAAUUUUAUAAUUCGAUAUAAAAAUAAAUUUUAAGGCUAUCCAAAAGAUUUUCAUAACUGACAUAACAUCUUUCAAAUACUACUUGAAAGUGUGCCUUACCUUGAUUGUUUACCGCCUCAGCUUUAUAUUAACCACACCCCUCUCUCACACACGUGAAUAAUCUUCUUUAGUAUGGCGACGUAUACUAUACUCCCCAAGAAGCAUAAUUUAUAUUCAUUCCCUCAGUAAGAAAACCUACUUGAGAGAAUUUUUUUAAUUUGAAAUUUUGGGAACCACCUAAGAAUCACUAGAUUAUUUUCAGAAAAAUAAUUUUAAAAAUUUGAGUUUUCUAACGCCUAGAUCUCAGCCCCUAAAAAAUCAACGGUCUUUAUUCAAUCUUGAGAGUUUCAAGUAUAUAGAGUGUGCCAGCAGUUGCAAAGAACUUUUUCAAAAAAAGGUAUCAAACCAGGCCACAGGUGCAAAGAAGUUUUUCCAAAAAAAAAAGCAAAAACUAAACCACGUAUUUGUUCUUCCUUCUUUGCUGGUUUAAUGGUGUUCCCUUUUCCUUCUAUUUCUUUCACUUUUUCUCAUCGUCUCGCGCUACUAUGAGUUUUGAGAGAGACACACCAAAUUAUCAGAUUUAACAUCGGAUGGAUUUCAAAUCGUAUGGUUGUAAGCAAUUGUGACUUUCUUGUAUCAAAAAUAAAUGAUUUCAUUAUAUAAAAUCCCUAAAAAAAAUGCCAUAUCCCUUUUUUUUAAAAAGUUAAAAAAUAAAGACAAGAAGCCCAAGCCUCAUCAGGCUUCACCCGAGGUUUUUAAAACUGGACCUAAUAAAUGUAUACAUUUCAAUUAGGGUCUCGGCCAGGCACAGGCAGGCCCAAACCUGGCCCGGCGGCAACCUACCCCUAGUUCCAAUCUGACUUAAGCCAUUUCCAAGUUAAACUGCGUGGUGAAUAGAACUGUCGGAAAACUUAAACCCAUCUCAAGGCCUGAUUCCGAGUCUCCUGGUCCAACUCAAGAUAAUUUCAAAUUAGACCGGGCUAGAGCCUUAAAACAAUUAAAAAACCACGACAAUGUGGCAAUUCCAAUAGGAAAAAGUUUACAUAGAGCCAAAGCUCUAAACAAUCACUUCAAAAAUUUCACUAGAAGAGGUUUUGAUGUUCAAAUGUCUUCAAAUUGAUCAUCUUGACAUCAAGAUGUAUGGACAUGUAAAAAAAAAUAGAUUUCGAAUUUUGGAAAAUCAUCUUGUAAUUCAUUGUUAGACUGUCAAUUUUCAGGAUUUUCAAAUUUUCAUAAAUCUACUCAAUCUAUACUAUUUUUUAAGCUUUAAAUUUUAUAAUUAAAAAUAAAAAAUAUAUUUUAAAGCUAUGACACAAAUUUCCAGCAUUGAAAUCAUAUUUCUCAAUGCUAUUUGAAGGUGCGCUUUACUUUGAUUGUUUAGAACCUCAGCUUUAUACAAACCGCACCCAUUCCAACAAUUUCACUCCAGAUUUUUCUCCAUCCGGAUUCAUCCACCUGCCAAAUCCAAUUCAUCUCAGGCCCAUUCAAAGUCACACCAGCAACUUUGGAAUCCCCAGCGAUCCAAGCCUCUCGCUCAAAAGUUUAAUAAGUACAAAUUAGCAAUGUAUAACUAAAUCAAAACUACAAAAUAGGGAAAAAGUUUAUAUAGAGCCAAGGCUCUAAACAAUCAUAUUUGAGCCCACCUUAAAAAUUACACUAGAAGAGGUUGUUUUGAUGCCCUAAUAUCUUCAAAUUGAUCAUCACAAUAUCAAGAUGCAGACACGAGAAAAAAAUGGAUUUCUUGUUUUGAAAAUAGUGCAUUUUACAACACAUUUUUGGACAGUCAAUUUUCAAGAUUUUCAACUUUUCAUAAAUAUGUCGAUCUAUACUAGUUUUGAAGCCUUAAAUUUUAUAAAUAAAUAUGAAAAUAUAUUUUAAGGCUAUCACAAAGAUUUCCGGUAUUGAAACCACAUUUCUCGAUACUAUUUGAAAGCAGGCUCUAAUUUGAUUGUUUAAAACUAGGCUCUAUACUAACCGCACCCAUAAAAUAGAAGUGUAGUUCCUUUGAUGGAAUCAUCCCUGCCAGAAUUCAGCAGUUUCACAUUAACUUACAUAAAAAGAAAUAUUAAAUCCAAAAACAGAUCCACAGAAGCAAACACGAUCUAAAACCUUUAAAAUCUUUCCAUAGUCUCAGCUUUCUCAGCUUUAAAAAUCCUACAAAAUUCAGUUGGAAAAAAAAAUCAAGGAGCAACUACCGCAAUCCUCCCAGCGACCUGAUCCAAAUCCCUUUGCCCACUCGAAGUGAUCUGCCUUCCACUGUACAUCAAUUGAAACACCAGUUUCAAAACAUAAUUGGACAUAAAACCCAUCUAAGCAGCUCUCGCUCUCUCUAUCUCUCUUUCUCUCACACACACACACAGACUAACUAAUAUCCAAGUCACUAAACACAACCCAAACACCAGUUUCAAGCAUAUUCUUUCGAAUAUAAAGUUCCAAGCAUAUCUUUCAUAGCCACAUUUGAAAACGAUCAUCUUUGAAAAAAUAAAAAAAGGGGGAUACUUUGUUGGUUUUGAGUUUUCCAGCAGUGUGGCAUACGAACUCAGAGAGAGAGUGUAUCAAUUUCAUUGUGAUUUUUUAUCGGACUUUGUAAUGACGAAUGACGCACGCAUCUAACAACUAAGGAUGCUAGUGACCUUGUAUCAAAAGAACGAGUUUAAUUGUAUGCAACCCUUUUGAAUCUGGGUAGUUUAGCAGAUGUGGUGGUUUAGAGCUCGGAAUGUAAAACUAAUGUAUUUUUGAGCAAUCGUAGCCAUCUUAGAGAGAGGGGGAGAUAGAGAGAGAAAAUCAAUUUGACUGUGAUUAUUAGAAUCACAGGAGUGUGCUUCUAAGAUCAACUUGAUUUGAGUAAUUUAUUUUGGGUUAUUCAGCAGUGAUAUUCCAUAUUUGGCCCCCUUUGGUUCCCUGGAAAUGGGUCUCAAGGGAGAUGCCUCUCCUGGAAUUUUUUUUUGAAUCUGUUAACUGUUACGUAUUAAGUAAAGGUGCAAGAGAGUUACAAGAAACAUCUGUAAGCCAAAAAAGGGCCACCAGUGAAGCGGGGGCCCUAUACAAAAACCCACUAGGGGCCCAAAACACCCAAAAAGAUCCCCAAAAAGAUCUAUACAAUUAAUCACAAAAUUAAUAUCUAUUCUCUUACAAUUGACAUCUCCCACAACAUAAGCGUCAACUGUUUGGAUAGCAUAUGGUAAGAGACCUGGAAGAUGCAUGUCCACUCUUUGGACUGCCUGGAACAUCUCCAGGAAAUUAUAUAGUAUUACAAUAAUAUAUAUUGAUAGUAUUAUAAAUCUAUUAUAUUAUACAAAUUAUAUAUAAUUAAUCAUAAAACAUUAUAUACUUAUAAAUAUAUAUGUUAUAAUAUAUAACAAUAUUAAAUAUAUUAUUAUAUAACAUAUAAUUAAUCAUAGUUAUAAUAUAUAAUUAUUAUAAUUAGUAAUGAGCAUAGUUAUAAUAUAUAAUUUAUUAGUCGUGUAUAUUAAUCACUAUAGAUUACCAACCUCCAAAUAAUUGGUUAAGGGUUAGAUGAUGAUUAUUAAUCACUAUAUGUUAAUUAUUAUCAUUAUUGCAGCUCUAGGGUUUGAGGUCCUCUUUGGGCAGACCUCAACCCAACUAUAAGAUAUAACUUACCACAAGUUUUUGGGGCCCAUAGCUAUCUUUCAAUCUCCCGGAAAUGCUGACUCCAUGUAUUAUGGUGGAAUUGACAUUUCCAAAAAAAAAAAAAAAAGGUCUCACAACAUGGGAAUCGGUCUCCACACAAAACUGGAACUCCGUCCCUAGGAGGGCAUCAAAACGGCAUUUAUGGGCCAUUUCCAUGGAAACCAAAGAGACCGUAAUAAUCUCAGGGGUGUGAUUCUUGGAUCAAUUUGAUUUAAGGUAAUUUAAUUUAGCUAGUUCAGCAGUGAUAUUCCAUAAUGGAACUUGGAAUGUAUACAUUGAGGUCUUCUUUGCCAGAUCCAUGAAAAAGAGCAUACCACAGUAGCAAAAGUAUCAACUUGAUUGUAAUUCUAUGGUCUUAAAGGUGUGAUUCUCACGUCAAUUUGACUGAGGUAUCUCCUUUUUUUUUGGGGGCGGUUCAGCAAUGAAAUUCAAACAUGGGAAUAUAAAAAAAUGGGUAUUCUUUCAAGUUCCAUGAAAAACAUCAUACCACCCAGAGCCAUCUUAGAAAGAGAGCAUCAAUUUUUAUGUGAUCCUACGAUCACUGGUGUGCAAUGCAAUGUCCGCAAAAAUCAGAUGAACACGAAAUGUGCCCCAACAAAAGAAAAAACCCAAUAAGUAAAGAAAAGAGAAACUCAAGUACUUACCCUUUGGGAUCAAGGUCAAUAAUCUUCACCUUCUCCAAUUGUUGGAGAAUGUGACGAGCCACAGCUCCACUGCUCUUGCAAAAAUGGGGAGGGCGGCUUCCAUUCCUCUUGCGCCCACCAUAGAUCUUUUGAAAGCCCCCCACGCCGAUACCUUGCCUAAGGUAAAUUUUCCUGGCCAUAGAGGCUACAAACAAGCAAAAUAUAAAAAAUUACAAAGAGAAAAAGGGAUAGAUUUUGCAACCAUACAGUAUUUAACAGAAUGGAUAUGUAGGUUUCAGACCAUGAGUUUUUGACCAUCCAUCCCAAGGACACAGCGAGAGAGAGAGAUCUGGAUAUCUUCACAGAAAUGUCACUCUCCAACUCAAUCUGUUAGUUCUAUGGCCACAUUUCUCUCUGUGGUUUGCAUGAGAAUGUGUGUGUGUGUGCGUGUGUGUGUGUGUGUGAGAGAGAGAGAGAGAGAGAGAGAGACCAAGUUAUUGUCACUAAGCCGUCCGGCGAUUCUUCUUUAAGGAAAAAGUUCCUGUUUCGAAGCAAAGAUGUCACGAAUUUUGUAUCUCCAUAAGAACCCAUUGGUACAGAAACCCAUUUGAGACAGAUAGAAGUGGAAGGGCACCCCGCAGGAGAUUGGGGGGUAAGGGAGGGGGGAGAAGAGGGAAGAAAGGCAUCGUUUUGAAACAUAAAGGAUUGGCGUGUACAAAAAUUAUAGAAAUAAACAGGUGUUUUCCUUGGAAGCCUCCAGGACAAAAGCAAAACAAAAGUAAACUAGACACGUACCAGCCCUGAUGAAGUACCAAUCAGGGUCAUACGGGGCAAGCUCCUUGAAUGUGCCCGUCUUCACAAGGUCAGUCCAUUCGGGAAGCUCAAUCUAAAACACAAGAAUCACCUAGCAUGAUUAAUUAUAAUCUUCAAGACGGAGUGAGUGUGUGUGUGUGAGAGAGAGAGAGAGCAGAUAGUCUCUUGAGGGGGAGAAAGAGUAAUUAUAUAAAUACUCUCUUGAGGGUAUGAGAAAGAGUAGAUUAUAUCUUGCAAAUCCAACAUAAACAGACCUAGUGAAUAACAAUCACAACAUCAAACUCAGUAAUACCAAAAGCAGACAAACUCAGCAAUACCAAAAGCAAAAAACCUUAACUCGUAUCUAGAAUUGGAAGGGAAUAGGCCAACCACAUCAAAGAAUUGUAUGUUAAAGCAUUAAAAAUAGGGGUGGCAACAGGUCCGGUAUGGGUCAAGUUUAGCAGGACCUAGACCCGAAAGAGUGCAUAUGUACCCAGACCCGGAACUGGACCCACCGGGUCCAAAAUAAUCGUCCCCGUAUCCGUACCCGAGAGAGGCUUUUGGACCUGUACCCAACCUCAAUCUUUGCCUCUGCACCUAACCUGGGAAAGGUCUCUCUAUCUCUUUGUCCAUUUGAUUUCAGUAGGAAGAAGAGCACCACCCUCAAUCUUUGCCUCUGUAUUUCUUUCCAUUGCGUAUUUUCUCUCUCUUCCUCUCCUCUCACUUUUCUCCCUCCUUGAAAUUGAAUUCUAGGGAGAGAGAGAGGAUUUGACCCUUUUUUUAGUACUUGGGGAUUUGCGGUUUGGGUUCUUGGUUAUGAAGAGAGAGACAGUGAUAUGCCCAUCUAAUAACCCAUAAAGUGCCCAUCUAAUAUCCCAUCGUUUUGAAGACGCGUUCUGCAAGGGAGUUCAUGGUUUUAUGGUUUUGAAGAAGCAUUCUGCAAUGGAGUUCGUCAAAGGCUUUGUAAACAACAACAACCCAAGACAGUGAUGCUAUCUCUCGUCUCCCCUUUCUCUCUCUACUCCUCUAAACCCUUUCUUUUUUUCUCUCUUCAAACCAAGAACCACUAAUUUUGCUUUUUAGGAUUCCAAUUUCUUCCUGAUUCAUAACUCCAACCCUUCUCAUCUCCAUUCUUCUCCCUCCUCCAAAUUGUCACUUUGUAUAUUCCUCUCUCUCUCUCUUCGAUCCUACACCUUCCUCUAUAUUCCUAUCUCUCUCUCCUUGCACAAAUCCUACCCCUGCCUCUGUAUUCCUCUCUCUCCUCAUUAUUGUCUUGCAUUACUCUCUCUCUCUUCUUGUACGUGCUCAAUUUUCAAUGUUGUUCUCUACUUUUCUCUGCAAGGCUGCCAAGUGCUACACUUUUCUUUGCAAGGCUGCCACGCCUGCUCUGAUAGCUGUUAGCAUAUCAAUGCACUCAUUUAAAUCCUCAUCACUAUCACUAGCCCUAUGUUUAUUGUCCAUAUAGAUGAAAAGAGAAGAGAGAGAAUGAUGGGAUUCUCGACAGUAGUAAGGUAACGGGUCCCGGGUCAAGUAUGGGGCGGGUCCAUAUACAAAAAAUUUUGGAUCUAUUUUGUAGGACCCGGACCCUACCCACGGGUCCAAAUGCUGGACACAUACCCGGACCCGUGUUGGGUAUACCCACUCCGGGUCGGGUCCGGGGCCCAUUGCCACCCCUAAUUAACAAGGAAAGCUUUUUGCUUCGAAAGGAUAAGAAUCUGGUUCUUCCACAAUCAACAGUCAUAUCUCUCCGUCACAAAGUCAUGUUUCUAUAAAGGGUGGUAAGCGAAAUUAACAAUAUCAAAGAACAUUCACUUGCAUUUCAACCAAUCGGCAAAAUUCAUAAUGUCGCCUAACAAUUAAAGCAGCAAAUGUGAUCAGCUGACUUGGUUUUAAUGUCCAGAAAAAGAACGUGUUAUCUACAAACUGAAACUGCUAGACCACCAGGUCCUAGUCAAACCAGAAAGCUCUCCAUUAGGCCUAAGCAUCCCAUAAAAGCAAUAUGACAAAAGACUUCUGAGAUGCAAGUGAUCAAUAAUUGAAGAAGGCCUUGUUUGAUUUAGGGAGGGAAUAUCCAUAGCUUAAUCUCCUACAUCUAACUCCCAGGUAUACAAAUGAAGAAACACAAGAGCUCUAACAAAUCCCCUAUAAAAUGAUGAAGUAUUUUCCCAGGCCCCUAUAGCUCAAAGAAACCCUCGAUAUACCAAUUCCCAAAAAAAAUUUUAUAAGGCCACAGUGGAGAAUCCUCAAGAACCUGGAGCUCAUCUUUUCAAGUCAAGUAUUGCUCUCCUACCUUCCUAAUGAGAAAAGCUCCAGCCACUACACAUUGCGAAAGAGACUAUUCUGAUAACCCUGUUCUAGCCACCUCACCAUGGAACUUAAGCAUCAGUAGAUCUCUUUAUAUCUUAUUCAUAAAUAUUUAAUGCCUAUCUUGCUGUCUUAUGAAACUGAAAUAUAUCUCCUAGGUACUUCUAUAUUUCCCAACCUAAGUAAAAAAGGUAGCCAAAGGACUUCUUUAUAAACUUCAAUUUCUCCUAGGUACUUCUAUCUUUCCCAACCCAAGUAAAAAAAGGUAGCCAAAGGAGUUCUUUAUAAACUUCAAUUUUCUGAACUACAGCGAUACUAGUUUCCCACAAUAACAACUUGGAAAAAACACAAUGUUAAAGUCAUGAGUCCUCCAAAAUUUUAUUUCAUAGACAAGGCAACAAAUAUUGGUCCAGAGAUUUUUAUCACACCACUGCAUCGAGUGCAGAACAACUUCCCACCACCAAAGUACAAGAACAUUAUUAAAGGUUGACCAAUCCCAUUUCUUAACCUCUUUAGCCAUUCUGACUACACUAUGACCACUACACUAACCUAAAAUCAGCUUAUUCUUCCCAUCUACAUCCAUACUGCAAUAUGCACCAGCAAGUCCUUUGUUCAGGAUAAUGAUUAUUUUCAUUAAUUGCUUAAUUUACGCAAAACGAUGUUAUUGUUUGGUUUGUCAUACACAAUUUACAGUGUCACAAUUUUGAUGUCGAAAACAACAUUGUCAGAGAGUAAUCAAUCAAAACUUUAGAAAUGCAAGAUUUCUGUUCUUGUGGUUCCUUAAGGGCUUCUCCAAAAGCAAUAAUUUUUAUCCUGGCCUCACCGAGACCCUAAUCAAACUGCUGCACCCUUCAUUUAUACAAUAAUUUGUCCUAUCCUUCCUAAUAACCAUUUUCAAAUGUAAAAAGCUAAACGGUCAAAAAAACCAUGGAAGAAGCAUGAACUCUGUUGAAUCAUCAAAUCAAAAUCCAUUUGCCUUAAUAACUAAUUUAUAAUCCUAAUAAGAACAAAUUAAUUCAUUGAAAGGACAAUUCAAUGAAAUUUCAAGGAAGCAGAAUAUAAUUACAAUGUGUAAUAAACACCACAUGCACAAAGGAUAUAAGUCUAUUUGAAAAUUGAUGACGCUAGAACCUAGAAGUGGGGAAAGUUACCGAGAAAAUAUUCAAUUGCAUUAUGGAUUAAUCAUGGAAAUUAAGAUUGCAAGUAAGAAACAUGAGAUGUUGCACUGGCAACCUUGUUACAUGCAAAACAAGAAAGGCAGCAAUCUAACUCAAGUAAAUAAGGUCAAAGUGAUGAAAUAAAAUACUGGAUGGCAACAGCUUUAUCUUCAAAUACUAAACAUCAUUAACAAAUCACAUCCUUUAUGUUUUUUGAUAAUGUUGACUGUGUAUUAAGAUUGAACAGAACAAGUCACAUCCUUAAUGUUUGAUCUUUAAUAUGGUUACCAUGACAUAUAGAACAAUAUGGGUCCAAGCUUAGGAAUGCAAACCUAAUGUUGACAAGAAUGUCAUGGUUUCCCAAUGAAAAAUAAUGUCCCAGUCAACAUGGAUGAAACCUAGGACCUAAUGCACCAGAUAAUGCAUGAAUCUACAAUCAAGUGGUACCAAAAAACAACCUCAAGGUUCAAACAUCUAAACAGCUCAGAUAGAGUAACAAAAACCAGGAUUUAUCACAAAUAGGUAAAAUAGAUCUUUAAGGCAAUGUCUGUCCCACGAUUUUACAGUUACCAUCACAUGCUAUGGCGAGAAACAAGGAGAUCAAAAUAUUAAAAAAAAAGUAGCUUUCUUCAAGAGCCCAUGAAUCCAAUCUAAGAGAGAAGCUAGACAAAAAAUGAGCAAAAAGCAACUUCCACAAAUAGGAGUUUUCUUCAAGAGCCCAUAAAUCCAAUCUAAGAGAGAAGCUAGACAAAAAAUGAGCAAAAAGCAACUUCCACAAAUAGGAGUCCAGAGAGCUGAAUAAAUGAAACUGAGAUUCCCAAAGUUUUUCAGUGACUAACAAAAAUUAGGGAUGAAUCAAUAAGCACAAAGAAGAUGAUGGAGAGACAACUAAUAAACCUUUGGAGAGAGAAAGCCAUGAUGAACGGAGAGAAACAAGAACCAUAGUGAAACUGGGGCCAAACCUUUCCAGAUCUCUUGAGAUGGGCAGAGUAAGCCUUUACAAACUCGUGAGGAGAGACAUCCUUCACUGUUCUUCCCACCAUAGCUAGCUCGGAGAUCAAAAGCCUGAGAAAACUGUAAGGGCUUUUAGAGAGAAAUUAGGGUGCGUUUGGUAACUCCAUAGAUAAAUUCUAGGAAUUCUAAUGAUAGACUUGUUAAGUGUUAAUCUAGAAAACAAGUGUCAAUAUUAGAAGCAAUCAAAACAAUGAAGUAUUCUUACUAGUAAGUGUCAAUAUUAGAAGCAAUCAAACAAGAAACCCAAGAAUGUCAGUAAACCUUCAGAUAAUUUACAUAAACAAUCAAUAGCAUUUAGCACAAAAUACUGAAAAUGAGGCCAUAAAUAGAGAAAACAUAAACAGAACAGCAUUAAACCCUGUAGAAAGUAGAAAUAGCAAGAAAAUAGGAAAAUAAAUAUAUAAUUCUUCAUACUCCAGAGAACAUAAAAAUCAGUAAAAAAUAAUGAACUGGGAUCCAAUUUUAAGCAUCGAAUUGAUUAAACACAAAAACCACUAUCAGAAACAAUUUAAUAUCAUUUAGAAUCAAAGAGAAUCUUAAAAAAAAAUGAGUAGUAGUAGUUGAAUACAGUAACAUUUUAUUAAAUAAAAAAGAAACAUAAAGCUUAGACUUAAGAAACAGUGAUAGAAGUCACUGACAAACGGUUAAUGGUGCAGUAUGGAGAAUCAAGCAAUUCAACCAAAACCAUUACAAAUUCCUCCGUGAAAACUAAAGCAAUUCUAUGGAAAAAACUUUCAAAUAAGAACUUGCAGAGAUAACUUUUCAGGAAAAUGCACACCUAUAUUGAGCAAAACAAAAGUUUGGGAACAUUCUUAAAUAGCUUUACAUCCUAGUUCACAGAUUAAUGAUGAGCUUGCAACGAAGAUAUUCAUCAGAAGAAACAAGUUUACAAAAUCCGGAGACCUAGGGUUCUCCACAGAAAAUUACAGCAGCCAGAGAAAAUGAAAGAAAAUAUAAGGGCAUUGCAGUAGGUGUUAUCAUAAAAAGAACAAGGAAAUUCUCCUGAACUAUCUUCCUUUUGAGAAUAGAUAAGUGAAUUUAAUUAUCAAUUAUUGUCUCCUUGGGGUGUUUUGGAAAUCGGUGAACUGUUUCAACUGUUUUCCUUGGUGACAAGCAUAUGUGAUUUUACAACUCAGAGCAGAUUAUAUUUUUCUAUCUGUUCCAGAAUUCAGUCAUAGUCUGCCAAUCAUAAGUUUAAAGUUUCUUAUUCACAGAUUAUAAAAUUGCCAAUGUACUAUAAUAGUCAGAGAAGCAUUUUUGGGAAAGAUUUUGGUCAGUUCUUCAUGCAAAAAUCCGGAAACUGGCAUAUGAAUACUCGGCAGCAUAGAUCUGAUGGCAUUCUACAUUCAUCAAGAAAACCAAAGAAAAGAAAGUAUCCUUUGACCAAUAUGAUUAUAGAAAAGCUCAAUCAACAAAGAAGAGGGUAACUGAAAGGAUGGAAGGGCAAAAAUACAUAAAGAAUGUGUUAAACCCUAGCAAAUAUACAAGCAAAAAGCCAAAAUGAGGGAAUCAACGUGAAUGGGCAGGUCGUCUUUCUUAAAGUACCGCUGCGAAAAUGCCGUGCAAUUUUCCACAGCAUCUGAAACCCAACUAUCAUAGAGAGAGAGAGUGGUGGAUUUAGAGAGAGAGGAGAGAGAGAGUGGUGGAUUUAGAGAGAGAGGAAGAGAGAGGAGAGAGAGAGGGGUAGAGAGAGAGAGAGAGAGAGAGAGAGGAGAGAGGAGAGAGAGAGAGAGAGAGAGAGAGAGAGAGUACCUGAAGCAGCCGCGGAGGAGCGGUGGGGGAAGGUGGGGGAGCGGCAGCGCACGGCGAACAGAGGUGAGUUAGGGUUCAGAGAGAGAGAGUACCUGAAGCAGCCGCGGAGGAGCGGUGGGGGAAGGUGGGGGAGCGGCAGCGCACGGCGAACAGAGGUGAGUUAGGGUUCAGAGGGGUUAUUCCUAUUUAUUUGAUGCCAAAAACUAUUCUACUCCCGCGGGAGUACAAUAUCUAUUUAUUCCUUCGGAUUCAACCCCCACCUAAAAUUAAUUUUAGUACCUCAAAUUUUAAGGAUGUAAGCUCUUCAACUCAUAUAUUAACCUCAAUAAAAAAAAUUAAUUAAUUUUAUUCUUUAUGCACUUAAAAGAAUGAUGUUUCAAAAUUGAAUAAAGACCAUCCAAUUUUUUAAUUGUGAAUCUAAGUGUUAGAAAACUCAAAUUUCAAUUUUUUUAGAAUAAUCAUAUAGUAAUUCUUAAGUGUUCAAUUAAAAAUAUCCUUCCAAUUAGGUCUUCUAACAGAAAGAAUAGAAGUAAACAAUACUCUCAACAAAAAAUAAUAUAUGUGCUCUUGUUUGAUUAUGAUUUUUAGAUAUUUCGGCCAUCUUUUGGAAAUAAUUUUCAUAUGCAUAUUUUUUUGUUAUUUUGGCCCAUCUCUUGGACAUACAUUUCAAGGGGAAUAUUUUUUUUCUGAUUGUUAUUUUAUAAACCGAAAGUGGUAAAUAGUUGUUUUUUUUUAUGAGAUUAACUUUUUGGAAAUUAUUUCCAUUUGAACCAAAGAAAAAAACAAAAAAAGAAAGAAAAAGAAAACGCAGCAGAAUUUUAAUGGUUUACUAUGUGAAAAGUAGAUAGAUAGAUGCUAAAAUGCUAUAUAACAAAAAUUGCAUGAAACUUUUCAAUCAUAGAUAAAGCUUAGAAUAUUGUUGUUAAAAAUAAGAUAUUUUUGAAUUUAUUUAAGGGAAAUUUGUGAAAAUACCCUAGAGGAAUGAAUUAUUUAAUAAUUUACCCAUAUUAUUGAUUUUUAUUUCAAAAUACCUAUUAAAAGAUGCAUGACCAUGGCCCACUUUGAUGGAUUUUAAACAAAACCCAAUGUUACUUUGGACCCGUCCUGUCAAGGCAUCAGUUGAUAAACAAUCGGAUCAGACCAACGAUUGUUGACAAUAAAAUUAGCCAGGGAGUGUACAUGAAAUAGAGAAUUUUGUGGUUCUUACAAAAGAGGAGAGAAAUGAGAGGGACGAUGAAGGAAAUAAUAGCGAUCUCCACUAUUCUCUACCCAAGGAAUCCAUAUAUGCAACUCUUAUCAGCAAUAUGAUGUGAAGAAAUGGUCGGGAUAGCUUCAACUAUACUAUCACAAGUGAGCCUAACGCAUGUCAUUUUCUCAAUGGAGUGUACUUGAGAAAGAUAAAAACUUUAUUUUUGAUAAAUAAAUUGACUAAAAUACUUUUAAAACUUUCAGAGGUGUUUUGAUUAUUUUAUUUAUCAAUAAUUUUUAUAUAUAUUUAUAUGUACGAUCAUAUGAAAGGAUGAACACUCCAAAUUUGAUGUCAAUAUAAUUUGUAGAAAAAAUUUAAAAUAAAUUAAAAUUUAGAUGUGACAUUACAGUUGGGGCCAUCUCAUCCAUCCAUUCAAAUAUGGGGGAGACACAUGGCAUAUAUGAAUUCCCUAUCCCUAUUAGCAUAAAAAGCUUUUCCCUCCAUUAAAAACUAAUGUCCUUUUCCUUUCUUUGGCCUCCACCAAACCUUGUGAGCACCGCGUAAGACUUGGGACAUCUAAGAUUCAUAGGAGAGAUAUAUAGCAAAAUAGUGUAUAUGGCAUUCUUCAUUAGGAGCAUAUUAUAUAUUUACUCCCUCAAGCAAAAGCGCUUUAUAAAAGAGUUCACAAUCCUAACAAUUAGAUGUGAAAUUAAAUAGCUUAAGUUGUGUUAAGAAAUUCAAUAAAUUUUUUUAAUUUUGAAUUUAAUCAAUGACACACUUAUGGCCACCUGAUUUAAAAUAUGAGUAACAAGAGGGAUCAUAACCUCCUUAUAUCAAAAGUAAAUAGUAUUUUUGUAUACAUUUUUAUUUUUUGAUUCAAAAUUUUGGGAUCCACUAAAGUAUCACCAUACCAAUAGUUUUCUCUAGUACAUUUCCCGCGAACUAAAUAUGCCCUUGGGGUGUUUUUAACAUUUAAUUAUUAUUGCAAAUAUUGUUGAGAAGGCAUUUAUACAUGUAAAAUAAAAACAUCUUGAAAACGAUACUUGUCCAAUAAAUACGAUAUUUUGAAAAUUACCCAUCCACAUCAUGACUAACAACAAUAAAUAUGAUAUUUUGAAAAUUACCCAUCCACAGCAUGACAAACAACAAUAAAUAAGAUAUUUUGAAAAUUACCCAUCCACAACAUGACUAACAAAGUGGGCGGUUCACAUCAUUACAUACACAUAUUAUAAUUUGUUUUUCUUUCCCUACCUAUGAAAUAUUGACAGGGUAUUGAUAUCUCUAUUUUACGAAUUAUUAAUCUUAAAAUGCUCUCUUUCUUGAAUUAGGUAUUGAUAUAUCUAUUUUGUGAUAAGAGUUAAAACACAAGUGUUGCUCCGAAGAGGUUAGUCAAGGCUUCUCAUGAUCAAACUUUUACACUGGGUAUGAGAAGUAUUGUCCAGAAGAGGUUAGCCAAGGCUUGUCAUGAUCAAAGUUUUUUAUGAAGUUACUAAAAAUAUAUACUAAGUGAAAGUAAAGGAGAUCAAAGUUACACAAGAGGACACAGCAAUACAUCAUACCAAACACAAGUAGUAGAUAAUUCUAAGUCUCAUCUUCAAUCCAAGAAAGCCAAGCCUGGUGAUACCACAAUAAAGCAUAAUGUAAGCUAAAAAGUUUAUAUAAGGUUGCAAUGUUAUACUAUAGCUCAUCCAAAAUCCAAUAACAAAGAGUACUAUGAUGUUCGAAAACCUUAAAUUGAUCAUUUGGCCUCGAGAUACAUGGAUAUAAACAAAAAUAUGAUUCAAGUCCUAAAUGUGGCACAUCUUAUAAUUGGAACGUUUAUUUUCCUAAUUAUCGAGUGUUAUAAAAGUGCUCGAUUUGCACCAUUUUAAAAUUUUAAAUUUUAUCAUUAGGAUUGAACAUGGAUUUUCGAAUCAUUGCAAGGUUUCUUAUAGCCGUACUACAUCUUCCAGUAAAUUUUUGAGGAGCACCUUAUAUAAUAUAGUGGGGGUACUUUAUAUAAGCCUCACCUGAGUGCAAAUACCCAUACGCAUCAAUUAUAAUAUGUUCACAUAAGGGUGAGAGUGAGACUCGCAAAGAUGAAUAUCACCAGGAAUGUUGUCCACAACAUUUAAAUCACAAAAGAAAAAGAAAAAAUAAAAUAAACACUUACCAAGUUCCACCUACUAAUAAUGAGAUAAAUUAGCACUACGGAUACAAACGACUACCAUGAGGGAGCAAAAAGAAACAAACACUUAGCAACAAACAAGGUAAAGGCCCAAGUCUGGCCAUAUGCACAAUUAAGGAAUGCAUAUCCUUUGUUGUUGAUCCCUCCUCUCCACCAUCAUGGGAUGUAGCGCCAUUUUCAGGAAGGCUUUCUCCCACUCCGUUCUUCUUCUUUAGUAGCCUUUAAUGCCCUCCCGUUAAUCAGUCUCGACUCUUGACUGAUGACGGGAAAGACUAAAUUCAAAACAACAUCAAUGCAGUGCACAUAAAUAGGAGAAAUAUGUCACCAUGACCAGAAAGAAAGGUCACUUGAAGGCUUACCAAGUCCUUGCUUUGGGUUAGAUUUGCCAGAGCAGGUUUCUGGAAAGGCAAAUUCACUGGAACAUUCAUUAGCUUGCAGCGAACAUUGAGAAGCAUUUUCUGAAUACUGACCACAAGCAUAAACAUGAUAAAAUUAUAUAUUUCAGACAGACAAUGAAAUGAAAAUCAAGCACAAUUCACUUUUAUUCAUGGAGAUCGGGAAAAAAGUGAGGUUAUAAUUUUAUAUAUAAUUAUUCAUAGUGAAUCUUCAGCUCUCUGAUGCAUACAACUUUUUGUUUUUGGGCAAAUCGAAUGCAAAUAACUUCACCCACAGUGCCUAAACAUGCAAAAUUAUCGACCAAAUAACCUUCUUUAACACGCAAUAUGUAAGCAUGAUCCAAGGUACACAGCUCCCAUAUGUUUGUCUUUUCUUUUGCUAUGUGAUUCUAUCUUUUUCUCAAAAUAGCCUACAAGAAUAUGGAUAUCAAUUAUGUGCUUUAUCAAAAAUAAUAUAUAGAUAUUCUUACAACUACUCAGAAAAAAAAGAAAGAGAAAUUAUAGAAUAUACCAAUUAACAUAAAACCAAAUAGAACAUAGUAUUCAACCUAAUUAAUCUAGUUUCUUUCAAUUAUAGAUAAAAUCAAAUAACAUAAAGCUUUCUCAACACUGCUCACCAGUGCCAUUGGCCCCUAUAGUCUGAGCAAAGUCAUCACCAACUCGUAUCUAAUAACCACAUGAGGGAAUUCUAAUAACCACAUGAGGGAAUUCUUUCACGUGCGAAACAAACAUGCAUAUCAAAUUGCUAGGGCUGAUCAAUCUCUUACGCAAUUAUCAUAAGGCAAUUCUUUUUAUACAUUUGGGGCUCAGAAAUGCAUGCAUGCAUGCCAGUUGCUUCAAAAUAUAAUGUUGACAUUGAAAAUGCCAGCAGAAAAUGGACCUCUAACAGAAAUUAUGAGCAUAAAUUCGGGAACAAUAUUCCGUGUUAGACAAUUCAAGACCCUUAGCAUCUGAUCAUAGCUACCAACUGCUAGAAACUGGCCACAUGAGAUCAAGCAACAGUUUUUAACAUCCAAACCACUUCCGCAGGCUUGAUACUUGAAAAGGCACCUUCCAUCUGGGGAGUAAAUAAGGAUCUGUAACAAAAACCAGGAAAAGCCCACAUUCUCAUCCUGUAAAGGAAUGUCGGAAUCAAUCUACGUCAGAAUGUUUCUCGUACAACAUAUGAUGGACAUGAGGAACAAGAAAUAAAAAAUCUUGUGGUAUUGCCCCAUUUUGUGGGCAACUACGAAGGAUUUUGACAAAGGACCUAAAUAUAAGCAAAAACAAAAUACAACCCUCAUAAACUACUUCUUGCUUGUCCAAAAAAGAAAAUAAUUUGACCAGGUCCAAUGGGAUAAAAGGCUGUGCUUCAUGCUUCAAUGCCUUGAAAUUUUUUUCCAAAAAAGAAAGCGCUGCAAUGAUAAACUGCAAAUGCACCAACUUACAUCCACCUAAUUGUCAAAAAUUAAGAUCAAUCUAUUAAAUGCUUAAAAACUGUUAGAGAGUAAUAAUGAAUUGCCAACUCAUCAACCAAGAAUGGACAACAUGUACAUGAUAGCAUUAUCACUGAUCCAACACUUAGCACCACAUAUAGCAUACUCGCUUUAAAUUACAAUUUUCCUAAAGGAUGAGAAUCACAUUAAAUUGUAGUUCGAUGCAUAGUCAAUUUACUUUCUAAAGAUGCGACUAACAUCCAAGGACAAGCUCAAUUUCGAGGAUAUUUCGCCAAUUCUAUCCUUGACUAUACACACCACUUCUUGAUAAUACUAGUCGUGUUCUUUUUUCCAAGGAAUACAAUUGUAUCUACUCAUAACAAACUUGCAUGACCAAAAAUAUGAUCAUCAUCAUCGAAGCCUUGUCCUAACUAAUUGGGGUCAGCUAAGAGCCAUACUCCACUUGAAUAUAUUCCGGAUUCAUGAGAAGUUUUCGCAAAGUUUUACGUUGGCUGACUACUUAAUACAACCCACCACUUUUGCCCGGGCUUGGGACGGGUUAAGGAAAAGUUUACGGUCCUCACUCUUCUUAGACCAAUGGCCAAAAAUAUGAUGAUAAAAAUAUUUUACUUUGUACUCGAGAGAACAGUCCCAAGUAACUAUCGCACUAUCAUCUGGAAUAAUAUAACUCCACUAAGUUGAGCACCCAAUAUGAUGAUAAAAAUAUUUUACUGUGUACUCGAGAGAACAGUCCCAAAUAACUAUCGCACUAUCAUCUGGAAUAAUAUAACUCCAUUAAAGUUUAUGCAAAACUCAAAAGACCAAAUCCAAUAAAAGUUACACUUCCACAGCAUGAAAAAGUUUCAAGCACUUGUCCAAACAAAAGAAUACAAACAAUUUUAUCGAUAAAAACGUUGCAAAGGUCUUGCUCCACUAGGUCCCACGUUUAAUCACGGUCCAUCCCAUAGAAUGGAUGCCCAAUGAACUACAAGUAUACCACAUACCAUAGGAUUAUAUUAUGAUUGCUGACCUUUUAUCCUAAAACUGUGAUAAUAAAGGGUAUACCCACAAGAUGGGGCAGCAUCCAUGAUGUGAAAAGCAAAUAGAAUUGGGGCCUCAUCUUAAUGAAACAUCAGCUACAACUACAAGAUGAUCAAUAUGAUAUGCAGGCCGCAAAUUUGGUGUGAUCACUAAUGGUGUAUGUGCUACAAUUAUGAUUUGCUCAUGUUAGAAGACGGGCUGCAACAAUGGAGUAAUCACCAUGGUGGAAAAUGCAGCAACUAAACUAAUAUAACCAUUAAAAAAUGAGCUCCAACUAAGUGUGAUUACUCAUUGAGAUCAAAUGACUAUGAUCACGCCUAUCAUGGUCAUGUAUGGGCUGCAUCAUAUGCAUGAUCAUCAAGGUAUAUGGGCUACAUCAUAAGCACGAUCAUCAAGGUAACAUAGCUACUGCAUGGGCAUAAAAAUCUAGGGAAAAUGGUGUGCGGGUGGCCAUCAUGGCAGCAUGAUGUGGGUGUCGCCAUCAUGGCAGCAUGAUGUGGGUGUCGCCAUCAUGGCAUCAUGGCAUGUCAAGGGAUGAUCAUGUGGGAUAGGGUAUGGUUGCAAUGGCUAGGGUAUGCCCUCAUGAUGUGUAGAUGCAUAAGAUGGUAAUAACAAACCCGACAGCAUUAUAUAUAUUAACAGUAUAUAGAAGUAUAUAUAGUGGUCAUGCUUGAUGACAACUACAAAUAGAAUCACAUAUGGGACUUAUCCCAUAGGAUUAAAUGACUAGGUUCACCUUGAGCCAACUUGUGAUUAAGGCCAAAAUUAGUAUGCUCAAUGUCCUUAAGAGAGGGAGCACUACUUUCUAGACAUUAGCAUAAUAUACUUUGAUAAAACUCACACUAUAGGUGACAACAUAGAUGGGCACUAAUCCAAACCAGGCAUUAUGUAGGUUGCAAACUAAAUUCAAGUUGAGUCAAGGUGUUUUAAUGAUAGGAAAAAUGAUGGGGGACAAUCUUAUCUUAAGCUUGAUGGAUAUGAAAUCAAAAUUAACAAAUAGCAAACCAUGAAAAUUGAACAACUCAGGCCCCUAUGAGUAUCAAACUAGAACAAUUUCAUAGGUGAUUUCUGCAUACAAAUUUCAAAGAAUUCAAUCAAGAAUAGGCCCUGUUAUCGACAAGACCUCAGAAACCAGAGCUUUUGAAGAUCAAAAACUGUUUUUUUGAGUAAACUCCAAAUUCUUAGAACAAUUAUUCCUGGGAGAUAGGCAGGUUUUCAAAUAAAUCACGCUUGUUAAUGAAAAUGAUUGGUUGUGUGCUACAAGAAAUUGAUCUAAUAUGGAAUCAGAAUUUGAUACGCAUAUGUUUGGAUCUGUGAGAAACCAGAGCAGUUGAAGUUCCCUUGGACUGCAGUAAAUGUACCAUCCAAUCUCAUGCGUAAACCAACAUUUUUUUUUUUGAUGAAGUUAACCUGAGUAAACCAAAAAUUUGAUACGCAUAUGCUUGGAUCUGUGAGAUUCCCAAAAUCAAGACAAUGCAUAAACUGAUGAAAAUGAACAAAAUCAGUACCUCAUUAACAGAUAGAGAUCAGUACCUUGUUAACAGAUAGAGAGACAGAAAGUAUUCAGAAUAAAUCCACAACUAGUUUUGGACCGUAUCAUCCAACAUUAAGAGUAACCUACGAAUAUGAUAUACAAAAAACUUGGAUCCAUGAGAACUUGCACAUGAAAACAAUGCAUAGGCUGAUGAAAAUGAACAAAUUCAGUCAACCAUAAUCACAUAGAGAGACUCACCACAAUAUAACAAUAUACUAAAUAACUCAUAAGAAAGCCCUAAAUUACAUGAAUCAAUAAUUGCCCAAACUCAAAGCAAACAAUUAAAAACCAACAGUCUUUGGCUAAGACUACCAUGAUCACCCGCUGUCCAUUUAAUAAUAGCAGAUAUCAACUAACACCAAUCAACCAACAAGGCAUAAAAUCAACGCCCUAAACCACCAAAAACCAGAUAUCCCUCACUGUGAAAAACUCAACCAUUUAGGAACAUAAAGAUAAAAACCUAAACCACCAAAAACCCAGAAAUAGUGAAUCUUGAAAAACCCUCUAAUUGAUCAUCUCAAGAUCGAGAUGUAUGAAUAUAAAAAAAAAAAAGAUUUUGAGACCCAGAAAUAGUGCAUCUUGCAACACAUUAUCUAGACCGUCUAUUUUCAAGAUUUUCGUAUGUUUAUAGAUCUACUUGAUUUUAACCAAUUUUGGGGUUUAAAAUUUUAUAACUAGAUAUGAAAAUAGAUUUUCAGAUAAUCCUAAGAAAUAUUUACACCAAAAUUACAUGUUAUAAUAAAAUUUGGUGGUGCACCUUAAUUGGACUGUUUAAGGUUGUAACCUUAUAGAGAGAGAGAGAGAGAGAGAGAGUUACCCUGAUGUACCCACGUGUAGAGAAAGAGCAAUGGCCAGGAACUAGUACUCUGUGCAAGAAUGAAAGAGCAGAGGUGAGAGAUGGCUGCUCUAGGCGGCACAGUGGAGCGAGACAUAUGGUCGAGAGAGUGCUGCUGCCACUAUGGGUGAAGAGAGAGAGAGGGCUACUGCAAUUAUGGACAGAGAAAGAAAGAGAGAGAGAGAGAGAGAGAGAGAGAAGNNNNNNNNNNNNNNNNNNNNNNNNNNNNNNNNNNNNNNNNNNNNNNNNNNNNNNNNNNNNNNNNNNNNNNNNNNNNNNNNNNNNNNNNNNNNNNNNNNNNNNNNNNNNNNNNNNNNNNNNNNNNNNNNNNNNNNNNNNNNNNNNNNNNNNNNNNNNNNNNNNNNNNNNNNNNNNNNNNNNNNNNNNNNNNNNNNNNNNNNNNNNNNNNNNNNNNNNNNNNNNNNNNNNNNNNNNNNNNNNNNNNNNNNNNNNNNNNNNNNNNNNNNNNNNNNNNNNNNNNNNNNNNNNNNNNNNNNNNNNNNNNNNNNNNNNNNNNNNNNNNNNNNNNNNNNNNNNNNNNNNNNNNNNNNNNNNNNNNNNNNNNNNNNNNNNNNNNNNNNNNNNNNNNNNNNNAGAGAAGAGAGAGAAGAGAGAGAGAGAGAGAGAGAGAGAGAGAGGAAAAGACAAAAAAAGAGAUGGCAGAUGUAGUACGGGUGAGAGAGAGUGGAAAGCAUGCAGAGGAGAAGAGAGGGGGCUAGGGCUUGAGAAUUCCAACAACAAAAGCCGAAGCAGCUACUUUCUAGUGGAAGACUAAGGAUUUGUCACUUCUUUCUCUCAACAGGUGAUACUUUAGCUUCUUAACCAAGAUAAAAUUUUCAAGGAUAAACUGUGAAGUAUAUGGGAGAAGAAAACUAUUUGGCCAUUUUUCUAACAUAGCCCAUAGAUAUGCUUGAAAUUAGUGUUACACGAACCACUUUUAUUCUAAACGAAGUGAGAAAAAGCUAAAUUACUUUGGAUUAUAAUCUUGGAAAUAAGCCACAUUUCAUGAGAGAGAGAAAGAUAUAUCAUCUUUUUUCUCCUUCAUGAUAAUUGAGAUGACUUUGUAUUCACUUUAAUCAAUGAAGCAUCAAAUUACUACUCACUAACAGCAAAAAAAGAGGAAGAAAAUCUCUCUUUCUCUUUCUCUCUCUCUCUCUCAAAAGUUCAAAAAAGAUUCCUAUGAAAGUUACAAAAAGGUAUAUGAUUUUUAUUCAAAGAAUGCUUCAUUCCUGAGCAGGUGUACAAUGGCAUAACUCACCCAAUCAUAAAUUAUAUCAUGAAAACAAUUUAUACAUACCCAUUAUAACCAAAGGCCUUCAUAGGACGAUCCAAUGCGAGAGAUUAACACUGCAUCACACACAGAAUUCUGAAACCACCCCACUUACACAUAUUUCACAUUCCAAUAAGAAUACAUUCAUCGCCACCAAAAUUACAGUGCUUCACAGGCCAUGCCCAUAGCCUAUGCCAAUUGAACCUGGCACAUUAUCCAGGCACUGCAAUGCAAAUCUCUUAACCCGUUUUUGACCCUCCUUCUGUUACAAGGAAAAUUCUUAAGAGUUAUCUGGUAACUACACCCACGAACACAGAGAAGUCAUUCCUAAUAAAACUCAAAUACCAAAUGAAUUGGGGCCAAAGUAGCUCAAUGUGACUGAUAAUCUAAGUGUCUCUCAAAGUUAUAACAGCAUGAGGGGCACAUGUUAGCAUCACUAAUGAUCAAUAUGAUGAUUGUGUGUGUGUGUCUGUAGAUGUGCAUUUUUGUGCUUGUGUGUGUGUGUGUGUGUGUGUGUGUGUGUGUGUGUGUGUGUGUGUGUGUGAGAGAGAGAGAGAGAGAAAUUACCUCCAGUUAAUUGCAUCUCUACCUUGAACCACCUCCCACCCUCUCACAAGGACUUUGUUGCAUGUUGCGACUUGGCAGCCUCUCUCAACACGGCCCCAACUAUUGCUGCUUGCUCAAGGUUCUCGGUCCUCUGCAAAGCCUCCAAAAGAACAACACAACUUUUCACAUUCACACUACAACCCCUCAUUCUUGUCUCCUCGAAAAUCCUAUAUGCAUCCAAUGCUUUAUCAGCAUUGCUCAACCCUGAUAUCAAUGCAUUAUAACUGGCAGAAUCAGGUACUCCUCCCUUCUCUUUAAACUUCUGAAACAACCCAUUUGCCUCCACAACAUUUCCUGCUUUAGCAAGCCCCGAAAUCAUUGUAGUGUAAGUGAUCACACUCGGGCUCAAACCUUGCUUUUGCAUCUCUUGCCAAAACACAAAUGCCUUAUUGAAUUUUCUUGCUCUACAAAGGCCAUUGAUUAGGAUGCUAUAGGUCACAACAUUUGGCGUACACUUCAAGUCCUUCAUGGAGUUAAAGCAAACCAAUGCCUCAUUUAUCUCAUCAGCCUUCAUCAAAGCAUCUAACAAACAAUUCCAUGUGUACACAUUAGGGGUUAGACCCUUUUGCAUCAUCUCCUCCAUUAUUAAAUAAGCCUCAUCUAUACGGCCCACUUUCCCAAACCCAUCUAUUAAGCUACUAUAAAUAAUAACGUUGAGUUGUAUUCCCUUUGCUUUGGCCUCUUCAAAGAGCAUGUAGGCCUCAUCUAAUCUAUCAAUUUUGGCUAAUCCAUCAAUAACUGAGCCAUAGGUAACCACAGUGGGUGGAUACCCCUUAGUUUUCAUCUCCUCUAGAAGCUGAUAGGCCUUAUUCACCUUACCUGAUUUGCAGAACCCAUCAAUCACUGUGUUAUAUGCUAAGGUAUCAAGCACGCACCCUUGUUUUUUCAUGGCAUAGAACAAGUGAUAGGUCUCUUUUGCAAAGCCAGCCUUUAUCAAGCCAUGAACGAGGAUGGAGUAGCUUUGAACAUCAGGAACAAGUGCUUGGGCCUUAAUUUCCUCAAAUAGAGCUCGCCCUUUUUCAACUUCCCCCAUCUUGAAAACACAAUCCAUGUAGGUGUUCAUUAAGGUUAGGUCAGGAUUGCAACCCCUUCUAGUCAUUUCUUUGAAGACUUUGUGUCCAUCUUCCUUUCUUCCCCAUUUAAAAAAGUUACGAAUUAGUGACGUAUAAACCACAGCAUUUGGCCCCUCACCCAAAUCUAACAUUCUUUCAUACAGACUAUAUGCCUCAUCGAGCUUACCCUCUCGGCCCAAACCAUCGAUCAAAGAGCAAAAGGUCACCCUGUCAGGCUUGCACCCCUUUUUCUCCAUGCUUUCAAAUAUCUGACAUGCCUCAUUAAGCCUCUGAGCCUUGCAUAGCCUAUCGAUCAUUAUGUUUACAGUUUGCACAUUUGGGAACAAGCCCAAAGUUUCCAUGGAAUCUCUAAGAUCAUAUGUCAUUUCCAACCUGCCUGAUCGACAUAGCAUGUCAAUAAGGAUGUUAUAUGUUGUGAGAUUGGGCUCAGCAUCUUUCUUCAUCUCCUCAAAUAGCUUGCAAGCCUCAUCCACUCUCCCUUUCUUUCUAAGGCAAGUGAGGAUUGAAUUGUAUGUGAUAACACUCGGAAUGCACCCUUUCUCUCUCAACUUCUCGAGCAACUUGUAAACCUCAUCAAAUUUCCCAGCGGAACCAUAACCCAUGAUCAUGGUGUUGUAUGCAUAUGCACAUGGGACAUGGCGGCCAUGGUCCAUUUGCUCAAAUAACUCCACAGCUUCAUCCAAUCUGUUUACUUUGCAAAGAACCCCAAUCAUGGUUGUGUAUGUGACGUCAUCAGGUUUAAGACCUUGUGCCUUCAUUUCAUGGAAGAAUUUCCAAGCCAUAUCAACCUUACCCACCUUGCCAAAACAAUCUAUGCACACAUUAUACAAGACUAAAUCAGCAUCAAUGGAGUUGCUCUUCAUUUCUUCCAACAGAGAGAGAGCAGCAUCAAGCCUUCCAUCCUUUGCAAAUAUACGAACGAGAGUAGUGAAAAGCUGGACGCUCACUUCAUAGCCUAUUUCUUGCAUUUGGUGAAACAUGGUCAGGGCCAUGUUGGGCUCGUGGGCAUCAGCUAGUGCGCCAAUUAGAGUUGUGUAUGCUGAAAAUGCAGGCCGAAACUUGAGCUUGCGCAUGGUUUGGAUCAAAUCAAAGGCUUUUGUGAGCUUCUUGGACUUGAUAAGACUUGUGACUAAUGCUAUACAAGCUGUAUUCGAGGGACCAUAGCCAGCAAGGCUCAUUUCCUCAAGAACCUGGUCCAAGUUAUCAUGCUUGUUACCACUAGCCAUGAUCAUGAGAAGGGUGUUGUAUGCUUCUUGACUGUGGACAGUUCCAGCACUUUUCUCCACCCAUCGGAAGUAGGUUAAAGCCAGGCCUGGGUCCUUUUGCAUCCUUAACACACCAACCAUGCAUUGGGUUUGGGAUUUGUGAUCAAAACUAGAGAGAGAAGCUUCCAGAUCGGGUCCCCAUUUACCACUUUCAAGAAUUCGGCACACAUCAUUUACAAUGGGUUUCAAGGAGUCCUUAUCUGUUUGUUCAGUGUAGCUCCUGCCCUUUUCUAUUGAAUCGAAGCCUCCACUUGAUGAUGAUGUGAAUCCCCUGGAUGAGGAGUAAAGGCUCCGCAAGUUGUGAUUUGAUGAAAAUACCAAGCCUGCAUUGCAAAACAGAGUCUCAUUUAGCAAGUUAACAGUAUCAUGGGAAACCAUAUGAACAAAGUAGCAGAUUCCGAUUGUAUGAAAAACAAAUAUAUGAGAAUAGAUAUUUAUAGAAAUCUCAAGCUCUGAUCCAUAUGUUACAAGAAUGAGAAGAGUGACAGGAACUCUUGGCUGAAUUAUAAUCCACGUGAACCAAUUCAUCAGAAAAGUAGUCCACCAUUCAAGUAGAUGCCGAUCCUACGCCAUCAAAUUAUUUACUAAAGGUGCCAUAAAGGCAUAAACUACUGUGAAAGAGGAUAUAGGAUAUGAUCCAAAUGGUAUAAUUUUUAAUUUUAUUCGUACAUGUCAUAUUUAUGGAAAGCUAUAUUUGUGCUCUAUCUUUACAGGAACUAGAUUUGUAAGGCUUUUACUCAAUAAAUGACCCCAACAAAGAUGUACCAGCAAUGAACAAAAGCACACAUACACACACGCGUGUGUGCAUUUGGACACACACACGCACACAUGCUACGCAUGCAGGCACGCAAACACACGCACACACACGCGUGCAUGCACACACACACACACAAAGACAGCUGCAAUUUGGGUAAUUCACAAACACAAAGGCAGCGACCAUAAAUGCAGAAGUGAUUCAACUUUGAAUUUUCAAAUUCAAAAGAAAAAAUGUGAAUAUUUAGUGAAUUCUGCCAAAUCCAUUGAAAACUUUAAUGAAAUAGUAAGUGAGUGGUGAAGUUGAGGUAAGCACAUAGUUGUUGGAGACGGGAGUGGGAUCAGUUCGGGAAUUGCCGAAACAACCUAUUGCGGAAGUUCCUAGGUUUGGGAUCGGCGUCCGUACAAUGAACAAGAGAGGGAACGAGAUUCUUAGGUUUAUGGGAGCGAGAUCCCAUAUCAAUGGGUUCGAGGUUUUCACUGGCAAGAGCUCCCCUACAUAUUAAACGAGGUUGUCAAGUAGAGCUAGUACAGGUUCCCUUGGUUAAGGGAUCGAGGUUUACGUUUGUCAUAUAACGGGGUUGCUUUUGUUCUAACAUCGAGAUUCUUCAAAUACAAGAAUCAAGGUCCUCAGUUGAUUGGCCCCAAGGUCGCAACUGCCAUUUACGAGGGCCCCUCUAUUGGGCACUUUUCCAAUAUGUCAUCCUCUAGUUAAAUAAAUCCAUAGUGCCCUAUGUAUAGACAUCACAUGCUUACGUGGUACUUGAUAAAUAUUAAAUACUUUUAGGCACUAUACUAUAUAGUCCAUGGUCCAUAGCCAAAAUCUAAUAUGUAUGACAUCCUAUGUUUAAAUAAUUUCAUAGAAUCAUAAGUUUACUAUUAGUUUGUAAUCCAUUCUCCAAAGUCCAAUAUGUAUGCUAUCCUCUAGUUAAAUAAAUCUAUAGUGCCCGAUUUCUAUACAUCACAUGCUACUUGAUAAAUGCUAAAUACUACUAAACACUUUACUGUAUAUGUCCAUAGUCCAUGCUCCAAAAUCCAAUAUGACAACCUCUAUUUAAAUAAAUCCAUAGUGCCCUAUUUCUAGGCAUACAUGCUAUUUGACGCAUACAUGCUACUUGAUGAAAUAUUAAAUACUUUUAGGCACAUUACUAUAUUGUCUAUGGUCCAUAGUCCAAAAUGUAAUAUGUAUGACAUCCUAUGUUUAAAUAAGUGCAUCGAACCAAAUUUUUAUGCAACACAUGCCUAUAUGCUUGAUAAAUCUAAAGAGCAUGGAUUAUUUUGCUACUUAGUCCGUGGUCCUUAGUCCAAAAUCUAAUGUGUAUGACAUACCCUAUUUAAUUAAAUGCAUAUUACCAAAAUUUGAUACAUCAGGUGCCCAUAUACUACUUGAUAAAUGCUAAAAGUACAGAUCACUCUAUUAGAUAGUCCAUAGUAUACUUAUGUACUCCAUUCUUCUUAUAUAUACUCCAAAUCCCAUUAGAGGUAUAACUUUAAUAACAUAGUCCCUCGGACCACCAAGAUAUUCCUUACAAGAUAUUCCUUACAUAUAAAUCCAAAAAAUAAUCUACAAGUACACAAAUUGGAUUUUUCUAUUAUUUUAAUCAACUACAUACUUAGAUCACCAACACAUAGCCCCCCACUUUCCCUCUUCCCUGCCCAAUUCCCCCUUCCUCGAUAUUAACCCUUGGACCCAAAACCAGCCCACACGGCUCCUUCGCCAUUAGCUUGUGGUGAUCAUUCUGGUGAAUUUGGUCUCUCCCCCCAACUCUCUCACGCUACAAUCUCCACUCUCCCGUGCUACAGGUAUGUGCGCUUGUGUUCUUUCUCUGUGUAUUUUUGUCUCUUUUGUGUGCAUAAGAGAGAGAGAGAGAGAUAGUUGAGUGUGUGUGUGCAGUAGAGAGAGAGAGAGUUGAGUGUGCGCUCGUGCUCUUUCCCUGUGUAUUUCUGUGACUCGUGUGUCCAUAACCAGAGAGAGAGUUGAGUGUGUGUAUACAUAAGAGAGAGAGUGUUGAGUGUACAUUUGUGCUAUUUCCCUAUGUAUUUUUUUUACUCUUGUGUGUGCAUAAGAAAGAGAGGGAAUUGAGUGUGUGUGUGUGCAUAAGAGAGAGAGAGAGAGAGUUCAGGGUGCACUAGUGCUCUUACCCUGUGUAUUUCUGUAACUCUUGUGUGUGUAUAAGAAAGAGAGAGAGAUGAGUGUGUGUGUGUGCAGUAGAGAGAGAGAUGAGUGCGUGUGUGUGCAGUAGAGAGAGAGAGUUGAGUGUGCGCUAGUGCUUUUUCCCUAUGUAUUUCUGUGACUCUUGUGUGUGCAUAAGAUAGAGAGAGAGUUGAGUGUGUGUGUGCAAUAGAGUGAGAGCGAGGUGUGGGUGCGUGCGCAGUAGAGAGAGAGCCCACAAACAUGGAACCCAAUAUUUUAAUGUACCACAACCUUAGACCAUAGUUGAUGGGAGCGGGGAUCUAUUUUCAAAUGGAAAUGGAUUCAUCUGUUUUUUAAAGUAGAUUCCACGUAUAUGGAAUCCAAUAUUAUACUGUACCAAAACCUUGGACCAUGGUUAAUGGGAGCGGGGAUCUAUUUCGAAAUUGUACUGGAAUCCACUAAUGGUUUGAUGUGAUCCCCUUUAUUUGGGAGCGAGAUCCCAAAAUUGAAAAAUUGGGAUCCCUACGAGAUCCCUAGGAGGGACCGUGGGAUUGAGGUUCCGGAGCGGGAACGCCACCCUACCCCCACGGUUCUCUUAACUAUGGGUAAGCAAGAUAGAAACUCUUCCACAUGAUCCAAUUUGCCCCCUCGACUUUCCCUUCAGCCCCUUUUAGAGUUAGACAUGCAUCUCUUGCAGUUUCAUGAUGAGCUUUUCCAGGGUGAGCAUGAAUCAGUCCACUCCAUAGAAGAAGGAAAUUCAUGUUCCUCGAUGUUAAGUAUACACAACUCUCCCAAGAUUAUCUCGACCAUGAAUUUAUGAACCAUGGUAGGAUCAUCAAUUGUAAGCAUGGAAUUAACUAUGGGGUUGAUGCACCUUUCAAUUUCUGAAUGUUUAAGAUCAUAUGCAAUAGAAGAGAAUAACAGUUGGUCGAUGAUAGCAUAUCAUAUGUUGUAUAGCUUGGUCUAUAGGGAUUUUUGGGGUCUUCUAUCGACAAUCAAAAUUAACUCAGUGUUUUUAAGUCAAUAACUUGACCGAGUUCAACCAUGUACAGCCCAAGAAAAUACAAAAGGUCAAAGAAAAAAAGUAAAAAAGUUUCAAAAAAGGGUUAAAAAUCAGAAAAAUAAAUAAACUAGCUAAUAGAAAUCAUUAGAAGACUAAAUAAGAUGACAAAAUAUAUUAAAGAUUUGAUUGUUAAAAAAAUAAAGUUCCCAUAUGAAUCUUAAAAACUAUUGAAAUCAUCUAAAAACUGAAUUCCAAGUAAUAUAAUGGUGUUUCCUAAAUUUUUUGCAUUUUUUAGUUUUAUGCUUCUUGAAGGAUUUCUCAAGCUGCAUGAGCUCGCCCUUACUCGGACUGGGCUAUAGGCCGAGGUGGACUUACUCGGACUCCUCCUAAAACUGUUACCUAAAUUCAGUGAUAGUAAAUCCUUUAAGUGGUUGCACUGAGCAAAGAGAUUAACAUCCUUACAAAAAAUAGUGUAUCCCCAAUUUCUAGCCUCAACCAGGUAUAUGCUACUGCUAUACUAGCACUGCAAAGCAGAAUGACCACAUGAACAAACAAAUUGAUUUUUUGCGAAAAAUGAAAUUUCAGAAAAUAAUUGGUUGGAGACAUAUUUGAGCAAUUCAGGAUUAGAUAACAAACAAUAAAUCGAAAAUGUGUGGAUUAUUAACCCCAACAAAAUAAAUUUAUUGCUGAAUGAGUACAAAAAUUAAUCUUUCAAAAAAUAUUAAUUUUUCUUCAAUUAAUCAAUAACCCAUAAGUUACAACACUUAUUUACUCCUUAAUAGUAAAAAUGUCACUGUGAAUCAACUCUAACCAUAAUUCCUCAAAAUCCAAGCAAGCAGGAGAUAAACACAUUCAAACAUAACACAUUGGGGAUAGAGUAAGAAAUUGCAUUUAAGAGAAGGGAUUUCAGGGUUGAGAAAAUUUAUCGGUGUCGAGAGAGAUAAAGGGUUAGUAGUUCGAGAAAUUAUCAUUGUAGAGAGAGAAAGGGUCAGUGGGUUGAGAAGCUCACCUCUGCACAGAAAGCGUUCCAUCUUUCUUUGAUACCAAGGGCUUCAAAGAUCAUUUAGCCCUUCUACGUUCCCCUCUCGUAUUCUUCUUCAGUGGAAUUCCCAUUCUACGCUUCUGAAUCUUCAGGCCCUGGUUUUCAGGGUGGUCCCUCUACCUCUUUUUCUCUCCCCUGUCCAUAGUUAGCAAAUCGUCGUUUCAAAAAAUCGCCGUUUUUAUGGGAACACUUUUGAACGGCGACUUUUUUGAAAAGGUUGGCAAAAAAAAAAUCGCGUAGUUUUCGUAAAAACCUUUAGGACGCGAUUGACCCUAUCAAAGGUUUUACUUGGGGGUCGCAACCGACCCGGACCUGACCCAUGCCCACAAGGUACACCCGACACCGGAUAUGGGUCCAAGUUUUGGACCCGUAGGUAGGGUCUGGGUCCAAUAAAAUAUAUCUGAAUAGUCUUGGAUCUGGGUUCAGGUACGGUCCUACUAUACCCGACCAGGUGGGUACGCAAACCCAAAUUUUUAGUUUAUCCAAAUGUAAAGCUCCAACUCUAAAAUCGUUUCAAUACUUUUCGUCUUCCUCUAGUUCCGCAAAUAACUGGAUCUUGAAUGUCUCUCUCUAAUAGCCUACCCCUCAAAAAUUAGUUAUAUAUUGUUCACCAUUGUAGGCUACAAAAGAAAAGCUCACGGUAAAGAUGGCAAUGGACCUCGGACUUGAUGGAUAUGGGUCCAACAUUUGGACUUGAAUACAUUUGGGUUUGGGACAGGGUCUAGCCAGACCCAACCAAUUGCCACCCCUAGUUUUACCUCCAAAAGACUCUACGUUUUAAAAAAUAUAAAUUACGAGCCCAAUCUACCGAGCUUUAUUUUUUAGAAAAUUAUAAAAAGGAAAAGUUUAGGGAAAAUUGCAAGUAUCCCCCAACCAAAAUUUUUCUUUCGUAACUUAUAUCGUAAAAUCAAAUUUUAUAGCAAAUACUCCCCGUACAAAAAAUUAUAACUUUUUGAACAAAAAUACAUUUUAUAAUAGUGUCAGACCGGAAACAAAAAGAGCCGGAUUGAGGGAACCUUUUGUCAAACUACUCUCUACCGACUGGAGCCCAUUACGAGAUUGCGAGACAGCAAAGAUUAUACAAGGUUGAUACCUUAUCAAAAUAGGUCAACUAUUUAACAAUGGGAGAGUAUAAAAUGGGAUCAUCAACCUUUAAUACAAGGGAGUCACAUUAAUCUUGACCAUUAGAUAUAAAAUUGGGUGGCUACAAUUAUUUUAUUAACCAAGCUCAAACUUAAAAAAAAAAUUUCUUGAACUUCGUAAUACAUCCAAGCUAUCAAAUUUUGCAUCAAAUGGCUCUAAAGAAUUGUGACCGCCUUAUAUUAAAGGUCAAUUGUCUUGUCAUAUACAACCCCUUUAAACAUAUACAUAUAUUUUAUUGGAUUAAUUCUAAAGUACAUAUCAAGAUACACAUAACCAAGGAUAAUUAAAAAAGAUAAAUAGUUAAAUUGUUGAAAGGUCAGGUGUAUUUUUAUUUAUUUUUAUUUUUUCCCCUCGCAGCCAAACAUAGAUCAUUCCUAUUGUCAACCAUUCAAUUUGAAUGGGUAGUUGAAAUAACUUCAAGUGUGAUGUCACAAAUUGGUUUUCUAAGAUAGCUCAUAUUAUUGUUUGAUUUUAUUAUUAUUAUUUUAUUUUAUUAAUCGUUUAAAAAUUGGGGCUACACAUAUUUAAAAGAGCACACUAGAUAAAAUUAACAAAAUAAUAUUUUUAAUAUAAAUGAAUAUGAAGGGUAUUUGGAAUAUUUUAAUUAACAAUUUUAUUUUCAUUUAAAUUUUGAUUAAAAUACAUAAUUAAGAGAUUAACUAUUUACAACUAUUCCAACUCGUGAGGGUGUAUAUUUUAUUGCAACUUUAAAUUAAAUUAAAAUAUGUAAUAAAAUAUUUAAUUAUUCAUCUCUAACGGAAUUUUGAUAAAUUUCCCUAAGUCUACCCAGGUGAGGGCACGCCCCAUAUUCAUGCAAACUUAAAGCAAGCUAAAAUUUUUAAAAGUAAAAAGAAAUUUGAGAUGUGAAUCUAUCCACAGUGACCCUUGAAAUCUUUUUUUUUUAUUUGGGUAGGUGAUAGUUUUAAUCAUAUGCAGCAUCGAAUUCUACUAGCCAUGUAAAUUAAAAUUUCAUUCCAUAUUAAAAACAAGUUAAAUAAGACUUUCCGUUACUUAAAGUAAGGCACACCUUAAAAUUUUACGAAGAGAUGUAGUUUUUGUAUUAGAAACAUUUUUGAUGGUUUUAAAAUUCAUGUUCAACUCUAAUUUGUGAUGGUUUUAAAAUUCAUGUUCAACUAUAAUUUGUGAUGGUUUUAAAAUUCAUGUUCAACUCUAAUCGAUCUUUAAAAAAGGGAAAAGUUUAUAUAGAGCUGAGGCUCUAAACAAUCAAAUUAGAGCCUACCUCAAAAAUUUCACCAUAAGAGAUUGUUUUGAUACUCAGAUAUUCUCAAAUUGAUUGUAUCAACAUCAAGAUACAUGCAAAUGAGAAAAAAAUGGAUUUCAAGUUUUGAAAACAAUGCAUUUUGUAAUGCAUAUUUGAAUGUUCAAUUUUCAACAUUUUUAAGUUUUCAUAGAUCUCUCGAUCUACACUAUUUUUAAAUGUUUAAACUUUAUAAAUAAAGAUGGAAAUAUCUUUUAAGGCUGUUUCAAGGUAGGCUCUAAUUUGAAGGUAGACACUAUUUAAAGGUAGGCUCUAAUUUGAUUGUUUAGAGCCUAGGCUCUAUACAAACCGCACCAUUUAAAAAAUGAUGUAGAUUGAGUGUAUCUAUAAGGACUUUGAAAUCUUGAAAUAAGACAAUCUAAAUAACUUAUUACAAAAUAAAGCAUUUAUACGACUUGAAAUUCUUAUAAAAUAGAUUUUUAGACAAUCAUAAUGGUUUACUGCACUAUAACUGUAUUUUUUAUUUAUUUAUCAAGAUUUAGAUGUGCACCUUACUUUGAUUGUUUAACGUUACCCUAAUUUGAAAUUAUACAAAUAUAUAUUUUCAUAAUUUUGAAAUUUUAAUUCGAUUAAAUAUGACCCAAUAAAUAUAUUAUUUUAGAGAGGAAUUAAUUCAUAUGUAAGGUUUGUAUAAGGUGUCUGUCUUAUACUGUAUAAGUUAGGCGUACCUUUAAUUUUUUUUAAUAAGAUGUAGGUUCGAUGUUGGAAAGAUUAUGAUGGCUUGAAAGUCCAUGUUUCAUCCAAAUUAUGAAAUUUGAAUUUAAAAAAAUAGUGUAGAUCAAGCAUAUCUACAAACAUUUGAAAUUCUUGAAAAUAGACAAUCCAUAAAACUUGUUACAAGAUGCACGAUUUGAAGACGUAUUUUUUAUUUUUUUUAUAUUCAUAAAUAUUGAAUUCGAGAUGAUCAAUUUGAAGGUUUUCCAACUUUGGAACACGUUUUUUAAUUAGAUUGUUGAAAUGCAUUACUUCUAUUGUGUAAGGUCACGACCUUAUAUAAAAUUUAUCUCAUUUAAUUAUUACUUUAUUUGUUAUUCAAUAAUUGAUGAAGUUUAUAUAAGAUUUCAGCCUUGCAUUAUUGAAAGCCUUGCAUUAUUGAAGUAAGGUACACCUCCUCUGGACGAGAGUGCUAAGAUGUUGGGAGCCCUCCAAUCUAAUCACCUCGACCUCAAGAUAUAUAGAUACAAAAAAAAAAGAGAUUUCAAAUUCUCAAAAUAAUAUAUCUUGUAAGACCAUAUAUUUUCCCUCAAUCUAAGAUGAUGAUUUUUCAUUUAGGAGCUGUUUGGCGAGUGAGGUGUUGGUUUAGGGGAAAGAAAAUAAUAACUACUUGGAGGACUUGGUCUUCGACCAAUUCCCUAGGUUCGGGCUUAAGCUUCCUACUUUUUUAUCGAGAUUUAUAGAAAAUAAAAAAAUAGGUAUGUAUGUAGCCAAGGAGAUCAAGGAUGAGGAUUGUGAAUCCACUAUGGGCGGGUUUAAUCCCCGUCAUUCGCCCAACUCGUACAAUUUUGUGGAUUGGUAAAUGCUUGAAUAUAGAUGGUCUAGCUAACGCGUUCGAAUAUACACUAUGUUUAGGGCUAGAAAUUCUAUUUUUUUUCUACAAUAUUAUAUUCAAGGUCGAGAUGACCCAUUUAAAGGUUUUUGACACUAGAACCACAAAUUUCCUGGGAUGAGGCUUUGGUAAUGCUCAUUUAAUAAACAUUUGAGGUCUAACUACCCAAAAAAUAUAAAAAAUGCCAAUUUAUAUAAGCCCUAGCUUUUAUGAAAACAAACAAAAUCAUCACCUCUAAUCCUCGUAUGGAAAGAAAUUUGGGUAUAAAAAAUCUCUACGAUGCUUCUAAAAUCAAUGUCCAAUUGACUAUAAAACUCAAAGAUAAAAAAAUGGCAUAGAUAUUGUAGAUCCGUGAACACUUGUUUUGAUAGUAAAAUGGAUAGUAUGGAUAAUUUGUUACAAUAUACACUAUUUUAAGAGCUUGAAAUCUUAAUAUUUAUCCUAAUAAAUUUUCACAACUAUAAUAGUAAGGCGGAAAUGUCAAUUCAAAGAUUUGACUGAUACUAAAACUACAAUUAUCUGUAAGUUUUGAGACGAGGCUUUAUAUAUUAUGAUAGACUAUUUUUCCAAAAGAAAAAGUUUGUUUGUGAUUGCAACUUUAUACUGUUGAGGAAAGGUGCAUCUCAAAGUUUACUCAGUGGACAGUGUUCCACAUAGAAGAACCUUCAAACCGAUAAACUCAACGUUAAGAUGAAUGGACAUAAAGAAAAAAAAAAAUUUUAAGUUAAAAAAAUAGUACAUAUCGUAAAAAGUCAUAUAAACGUUCUAUUUUCAAGUAUUUAUUAAUCUGCUUGAUCUGUAUUAUUUUUUAAAAUUUAAAUUUUUUAGCUGAAGAUUAAAAGAGAUUUUGAGCCAUCAUAAGAUUUUCAAUGCCUAAACGACAUCUCUAAGUAGAUUUUAUAGGUCACCGGACUUCUACAGUAUAAGGAGGCAACCUUAUACGAACUUCACCCUUUCCAAAAUAGAAAAGAAUAACUUUGUGGUCCAAAGUCCAAACGAUCAAAUGUACGGAGCGAACCGAUGCCCUCUUUUAACCUCUUUUCAUCUCCAGCGCCAUGAAAUCUCUGGAGCAACUGCAACAUUUUUCUCCCUCUUAAUUUAGAGAUUAUUGUUCUUUGUUUCUGUGACUAAACGCCACAGUUAGGAAGCUUUCUCUCUCAUUCCCUCUUAGAUAUUUUCUCUCUACAAGGAAAUAAGGGUCUCUCUCUUCCAGAAUCCAUCUCUCUAGAAAACUCACAAAGUUUGGUCGAAAUCAGAUUUUGAGUAUCUCUCUGAAUUCUCUAUGAUUGAUGGGCCUGUUACUUUCUGUCUCUACAACUUAUCCAAUUAAAAUGCAUACUGGUUAAAAAACAGAACAAUGGGUGGGUCUCACACCCUCUGAUUUUUCUAGCCUUUUUCUUAUCUUCUUUGUUACACCAAGGAAAGGCGUUGCAACCAGAGUUUUCAGUUUUCUCUCUCUACACCGGUCCAGUGUGAACUCCAAGAAUGCCUGCAAAAUGAAAGCAUGGGUCUUUGCCCGAUUUCUCCGCAGCCCCCCAUGAAUUGAAAUGGGCCAACUUUCUCUCUCUAGAAUUAAUUCCAUGUGACGAGCCAUGAUAUCUUCCAAAAACGGAUGAUGGGUGUCUUUCGAAUACCAUUUUGAUGGGCUACCUUUACAUAAAGGUGGAGAAUUUCUGAGGUGAUUACGGAAAUGGAAGGGCAGUAUACCCAGCAGCGUUGUUACAUGAAUGGUGUGAAGCUUUCUAUACCCCCCGAACAAUCUGAUAAUGAUCGAAGCAGUGGAGAAUUGCGAGCGCUUGACUGCAAUGUUGGCUCUCUCUGUGAUCACAUUCGAUCAGAGGGCUUCAAUGCUGGGGCUUUCUCAGAUAUUGUUGUCCAGGCCAUGGGUAUCUCUUACCACCUUCACCGCCUCAUCCUCUCUCGUAGCUCCUAUUUCAGGUCUCUCUCUCUCUCUCUCUUGCAUCACAUAUUUAUAUUUUGUUUUUUUCCCUCAGUUGUGGUUGGUUUAAUGGUGGAUACUUUUUAUGAACUCAAUUGUGCGCAACCUGCAAAUUAAGAUGCAUGAUUUUUUAGUUUUGUUGGUUAUGCGUUGAGAAUGUAUUAUGAUCGAGUGUUGUUAUGAUCUUAGCACCAUUAUUCUUAAUGUCUUCCUCCAUCCACUCUUGUUCUUCUUUUCUCUAUGACUUUUUAUUUGUUUUUCUUUUUUGUGGCUAUUUUGCUUCAUAUGGUGUUUUCUGCACCCCCAAAACCCAAUUAAAUUUUGCUUUUUAUUUCAAAAAGCGAUCAAUAUGACGGUUUUGCAAUUUCAUUGCAAAAGUAUGCACAGGAUGUUAUUCCAUGAGACAUCCCAAACUUAGUAAGACAAUGGCCACUUGAGGUGAUCAAAUGUGUCUAUCAUAUGAUACCAAAUGCUGAUCCUACUCGCAAUCAAUAGCCUGUAGGGUAUUUAUUUAUUUUGGUCACUCAAUGCAACAUAAUGCCUGUCCUUCACAUGUUAAGCCACUUUUAUUGCUCAUCACAGUUAUUACUUCCAUUCAUCCCUUGGGAAGAGGCAUCUAAGGUAUUUAAAUCUACCCCCCCCUUCCUUGUUUCCAUAACUUUGUGGUGAAUUUUCAUCUUUAAUAACAUUGUUUCCUUUCUUAAAGAAAUGUCUUCAAAACUACUUCGACAAGACAACUUAUUCUGAUGUAGACUGGUUACUCUUAUAUUAUUUUUUACACACGAUGUUGUGUCAUUCUUGGUACCUCUCUUAGUAAUAGAGGCAUAAGAAUCAUGACAUAGCCAUGAAUUCCUUUUCCAAAGCUGAUUUCCAUGCUAUGCUACGAUUCACCUUUAAUAUUUGGGUCUGUAUUAUAUACCUUGAAGUAGUAAAUCUCAACUGCUGUUGAAUUGACCUGCCAGAUCCCGUUGCAAUUCCAUAUAUAUAUUUUUUUGAUGGUGUUAAUCCUUUUCCUCAUAGCCAUACUUUACGUCAACCUAUUUACUUGCCAUAGGAUGAGUGAUGAGAUGAGGAUGUUGAGUGGCAAGACAAGAAAUGAUAGAAUUCAGAAUGAAUACAUACGAGGGAACUUAGGGGUGAUUCCAACACGUGAUAAGAUGAGGGAAAGUAGACUCCAACAGGCGAUAAUACAACACCAGUUAGGAGGGAUGAAUUGGUUAAAGUGGGAGGCUCUAAAAGGACAAGGGGAAGGUCCAAAAGGACAUGGAUGGAAGUAGUGAGAAGAGAUAUGAUGACUUACGGUCUGAUUGAGAGUAUGAUGGUUGAUAAAGUAGAAUGGUGGAACCAGAUUCGUGUAGCUGACCUCAAAUAGUUAAGAUAAGUUUUGGAUGAUGAUUUUUGGUGAUUUAGUUAGUCAAUUUACCGUGCUUGAUAUUUGUCUUUUGUGUAGAGUUAUGAGGGGGCGGUCAAAUUAUAUAUUUGUCCUAUAUUGUUUUGUGUAAGAAUGGGUGGCCAUAUAUAUAUAUGAGUUGUCGUGAAUGCUCUCAGAUCCGUAGAGUCUAAUAUGUUCUGUCAUUUUAGUGGGUAUCCUGAUGUUGUUGCAUAUUCUUAUUUUCUAAGGAGAUUCUUAAGCAUUAUUCAUGGAGAUAAAUAGAAAUACCUUCAUUCUAAUGUUCGUUAUGUCUAGCAUUUCCAAACUACAAAAACAAAUUGGUCAAGAUUUCACUUCACAAACAUGUGCACAGAGAUACCCACCAUUUUUAUGUGACACGGGGCAUAAAUCGAUGUAAGAUAAUGAUUGACCUUUUAUAAUUAAUUGAAUCAAGGAAUCAAUUACCAAAGCAUACAACUAUGCGUGCACUCUUUCUAAAGUUAUAUACCAUCACCUUCUUUCAUGUAAAUAGCUUUCCUCUCAUGAUUGAUUAAUUUGUGUAAAUGACCAUUGGCGUGCAACUGAAUCAAUUGCUAAUGCGUUGGAGGUACAUAUGGAUUAAUAUUAUUAAUUUAAUCAUUUGCUUUAUUUGUGAUACUGAUAUUGUGCAAAUUCAACUUGCUGCAUCAUGCUUGGCAGGAACAUGCUUCAAGGUCCUUGGAAAGAGGCAAACGCACCAACAGUCACAUUGCAUAUUGAUGAUGAUAAUGUUAACUCGGAAGCUAUUGCAAUGGCUUUGGCAUACCUUUAUGGGCAUCACCCGAGGCUUAAUGAUAAUAAUGCUUUUCGUGUUCUUGCAGCGGCAUCAUUUCUUGACCUUCAGGUGUUUCUCUUUGAAUUUUUAUUUUUCGGGUGUCAUUGGUAGAAAAUGAUGUUAGGAUCAUGGAGUUGAAACAGGCCUCAUAAAAUUUUCAAUUUGGCUAUACUCAUCUAUGUUUGUCAUUUUUUGUAACUUUGUUGCAUUCAUAUCACAUUCCCAUGUUUAGGAUCUGUGUGCGAUAUGCACGGACUUCAUUAUAUCUGAAUUAUGGACAUCGAAUUUUCUAGCCUAUCAGGUCAGCAUCUUUCUCUCUCUUUCUCUCUCUCUUGCUCAUUCACAUGCUUCCUUACACACAUUCACCAUGGAUUCUGCAAUCAUAUCACAUUUCCUGAGCUUUACAAAUUGUUUUGUUUACCAAUCAGAUAUUUGCGGAAAGUCAAGAUUACGGGAUACAUGGAGAACGUGUACGAAAUGCUUGUUGGGGCUACCUAUGUCAAAGUGGUACCAUAGAGUUGAAGGAGGUACUUCACAUAUAUUCCUAUAUAAUUGUUUCCGGACCAAUUAGAGAAGCUUAUAACAUAUUGCACAGAGUUCUUUGAACACUUUCGGUUGGUGCUUUAGUUAGACAUGGAUUUUCUUUUGCAUGCUAUGAAUCCUUUAGCAUUUUAGCUGAUGCUGUGAAGGUUCACCAUGACUCUGGUAUUGAGGCAGUGAAUUUUUUUUUCUUCUGGAUCUCGUUUGCUGUCUUGUGCUUUUUAUAAUACAAGAAUUGAUCCAAGAUGUAUUGAAUUGUGAACAAUUUCAAGUUAACAAUGCUGACCAUAGUUAUAAAUGCAAAGCAUCCUUGUAUUUCAGCAUGGCUUUUUGGCAGUAUGUUUCAUUUGCAGAGAGUACCCUUUAGGCUUCAACAAGUGGUUAUACAUAAUCAAUUUCAUGACAUGAAGCAGUAUAAAAGCAUUUGAAACAUCAUUAAAAGGGUCACAAAAAAGCAUAUGAAGUAUUUGAAAUAUUAUUCUAAGUGGAACAAACUUGUCAAUUCGACAAUUUCCAUUAAACACAACAGUGCAUAUUUGGAUGGAUCCCAUGGGAAGGAGCUUCGUUUGUAUUGUUAGAGUGAUUGUUAGAGUUUGGUGAAAAGAAUUGAAAGGAUGAGAAUCCAUAUAUAGUGGAGUCCCAUGUUGAGAAUCAUUAUGACCUCAAGGAACAUGGUCAAGUUGAUUCUGGUGGUUCUUGUUCUUGAGUUUGAUUGUAUAUUUUGAGACUUGAGAGUCGUACUUCGGGUGUAAUCCUGGUCCAUUGAGUGUGAGGUUGUUAAGCUUUCAUUAUUGCCAAAAAAAAACUCUUAUCUUAUUUUAUAUGUGUAAUUUCCGGUUUCUGAAUGCUGAUACUUAAAUAAACAAUCGAGCAUUGAAUAAGAGAAUUGACAAACACUGUUGAGUGGAACUCCACAGCAUACCUUAUAAUGCACUCACUGGAGACGCAACUUUUGUAAAACUUCAUUAGGGUAAUAUAACGCCUAUCCACCUAGGUGAGUAUUAUGGUUAUGUAUUGCUCUGCAAUAUUUCUUUUCCAAAGGGCAUUGAAUUUGUUUGAGAUGGAUAUCGUACAUGAGAUUAACUUUUCUUACACUUUAUAAGGCGGGAUUGCUUAUUACAUGUUUGUUUAAGGGACAAUUUCCUAAUUGUAGUGCGAAUAAUAUGAGUCUUUUUGUUGCACAGGUUCUCCCUAAACUUUCUUCUCAAACAUUGCAUGCUCUUCUCACUUCAGAUGAAUUAUGGGUACCCAGUGAAGAGAAAAGGUAAGAGAGACAAACCCCUGCCAUAAUCUGGAUUUUCAAGUUUAGUGAAACCCUUUCUUCUUGUUUGAAGAUUUGAGCUGGCAUUAUACGCCCUACUGGCAAAAAGUAUGUUAUUGGAGGCAGAUAAUAGUGAAGAACCAAAUUCAGAAGCGGAAUCUAGUGCUUCUCAGAAUGUUUCUGUUAAGGGGAAGAAUUUGGUCGAUGCAAGUGUUAAUGAACAACUUCUAGAGUCUGGCUUAGGAGGGAUAAGCUUAUGCGAUAAACAAGAAGGGCACAAAGCAGCUCAUAAGAUAUUGGUUGAGCUCGCUGAUUGUGUAGUAGAUUUCAAUGAACCACUGAAAGUGCAGCAAGGGUCAUGCUCCCAGCAAAGUGUAGGUUCAAAAUACGCAAACAACAAAGUUGGGGCGCCCAAUUUACCAAGUAACUUGCAUGGUGGUUUUGAUACAAUCAAGACAUGCAAUGUUUAUGUGGAAAUGCAAGAAAAUAUGGAGGAAAGUAGAAUGAGUAGUAAUGAUGCUUCUAUGGAGGAGGGUCCAUCAGAUGAAAAUAGUUCACCAUACCAUGGAAAUCAUGAUAUCUGGGUUUCUAGGGAUGAAUCAAAAGCGACUUCUUCUAUUGUGUCCCCUUGCAAUGGGGUUAUGCUAAAUGAUUGGGGACGAUGCAAUUUAUCUCCUUCUCCAUCAUGGGGUGGCAGGGUAGUUGGUAGAAGACAGGCACCAAAUUAUGUCAAGGGGAGGCCUAAUAUACACAGUGAGGAGUAUGAUGCAUUUCUUGGCAUCUUUGAAGGGGGAUCCCUUUUAUACUGUAAUAUGUCUUUUGACGCAUUGCUGGAUGUGCGAAGGCAGCUCGAAGAACUGGGUUUCCCUUGCAAAGCUGUGUGCGAUGGUCUUUGGCUUCAGGUUAGAAAAUCAGCAUACUUUUUCAUGAUAUAUUAUAUGUCAUUACUCACAUUUGUACCUCAUAAUGAAUACUCUCUUCUCCCUCUCUUGUCAGUAAUGACAUUGCAACACGAGCACUGAUUCUCUCUUAUCAGUAAUGACAUGUCAACCUGAAAAUGAACUCUUCUCUCUCUCUCUCUCUUUCCGCCUAACACACACACACACACACAUCAGGAGUGACAUUCUAACCUGAAAACCAACUCUCUCUCUCUCUCUCAUCAGUAAUGAAGUUGCAACAAGAAAACUAAUACUUGCUCUCUCAUCAGUAACAAAAUU
Molecule: long non-coding RNA, 53920 nt
Filed under: Amborella trichopoda
Lineage: Eukaryota; Viridiplantae; Streptophyta; Magnoliopsida; Amborellales; Amborellaceae
Description: long non-coding RNA (ATRI_LNC002027)
Source: RNAcentral